Molecule: long non-coding RNA, 62997 nt
Filed under: Ananas comosus (pineapple)
Lineage: Eukaryota; Viridiplantae; Streptophyta; Magnoliopsida; Poales; Bromeliaceae
Description: long non-coding RNA (ACOM_LNC004060)
Source: RNAcentral
GAUGACAGAAUAAGUUAUUUAAAAAUAGCUUAUUCGCUACAAGAAUUUUUUAGUAUGAUUAUAACCGGAAAGUUUGAUUUUUAAUUUACUUCUUGAACGGUUUUAUUAUUCAUGGUUUUAUAGAAUAGUAUUUUUUUCACUUACAAGAUAAUUUAUUUUUAAAAAAAAAUAAUAACUUGAGAACUGAAUAUAAUUAUUUAAUUUUAAAUAUUUGAUCACACUUCUUAUCUUCUAAAUAUACAUCUAAAUAGAACCUAAGAAAAAAAGGGAAAACUUUAAAAACCCCGCAUGUGGUUUCGCACUUUCUCACUUUAGUAUCCUGUGGUUUAAAAUGUAUCAAUUUGCCCCCCUGUGGUUUUAUUUUUAUCUUUUUGACAGCUUUUUUUCUUAAUUUUUCGUUAAAUUAUAUACAAAAAACUUCAGAUUUCCAAAUAGAUUUAUCGAAUAUUUAUUUUUAGUACCUUUUAAUUUUAACUUUGUCACUGAUUUAAAAAAAAAUAAAAUAAAAUUGAUAAUAAAAAGAGAAAAACGAAACCAUAGGGGAGGACAAAUUGAAACACUUUAAACCAUAGGGUAUUAAAGUGAGAAAGUGCGAAACUACGGUUUUUUUUUUUUUUUUUUAAGUUAUCCCAAAAAAAAANUCUCCGGCUUCGUCGCCAUGGCCGCCGCCCUCGCCACCCUCGCGACCCUCGUCCUCGACUUCCUCGCCACACAGUUCUACGAGCGCAGCGAAGGACGACGAGGAGCGCUCCAUCAUAACGGCGGCGCCGGAGCCACCCGUGGACGAGGACGAGGACGAGGGCUCCGCCAAGGGCGGCAACGCGGUGCACAUCGUCGGGAUGAGCACGCACGCGGCGGUACACGGCCACAGCCACUACCAGGGAUAUAUUAGAUAGACUUGUUACAUAAAAAGGGUAUAUUGGAAUGGGCAAAAUGGUAAUUUUUUAGAGAUAACGACAGCUCACUAACGGAACUUAACUCCAGGGGUAUAUUAGAAAGACUUGGAACAUAGGAAUGGUAUUUUCAAUAUUAGCCUUCUAAGAGGGUAAAUAAGAAAACCGAAAAUUUUUCAGAGGUAAAUAGCCAAUUGCCCCAUUAUAUUAUAUUUAUAGUUAUACGCAAUCAAAAGCCUUCUUAUUAGAAGACAAAAUGCUAGAGAAGAUUCCUGCAUUCAUAAGAACCUAAUAAGAUUUAUUAAAGCCAGUGAAUGAAUACCUUUAUGAUGAUUAACAACUAUUUUUUUUUCACCCAUAUUUCAUUAAUGCCAACAAAUAGUCAACAUUACUAUUAUUAUCAGCUUCAAGUUUUGAGUGCCGCCUUAAACUUUCACGGACGGAUUAGGUAAGCAAAGGCAUCAUUACGACUCACACGCGGCAAAACAUUUUGGCAGACAUAAAUAAAAGCAGCUAAGGGCUCCAUUUGGCCGCUUGUACGGUAGACUGCAGCAAGGGUGCGGCUUUAGGAAGGGAAAACUUUAAAAUCCCUCCGGUGGUUUCGCACUCUCUCACUUUAGUAUUUUGUGAUUUAAAAUAUAUCAAUUUAUCUUUUUGCGGUUUUGUUUUUAUCUUUUCGACAAUUUUUUUCUUAAUAUUUCGUUAAAUUAUAUACAAAAAACUUCAGAUACCCACCUAGUUUUAUCGAACAUUCAGUUUAGUAACCUUUAGUUUAAACCUUGUUACUGAUUUAACAAAAAAAAAUAGUAAAAUUGAUAAUAAAAAAUAUAAUAAAAUUAUAGGGUAUAUUUUAAAUUAUAGAGUAGUAAAGUGAGAAUGUACAAAAUUACAGAAGUAAUAUUUGAAGUUUUUCUAAAAAAAAAGAGAAAAGCAUGACUCCUCCUCAGAUCGAUAGUGAAGUGUCGAAAGUAAAAGUUUUAUAAAAUGAAGUCUUAUUAGUUAUUUUAUUUGCGAAAGUAAAAAUAAAAGACGGUUUGUAAAAAUAGACCGAUAAAGUGAGUUGUAAUUAUAUCUCACUUUUUUAAUUUCGGCUGACAAGAUUUUAAAGUGAAAACCUAUGUUGUGUUUUGAAACAAGUGAAGUGAAAAGUUAUUUUUAUAAAAAUAAUUAUUUUUUUUUAUUUCAACAAUUUUUGGGCAACCAAAAUUGUCCUAAAAAUCAAGGGACCGGCAUGCUUUUUUGUGUUUUGAAAAAUUAAAGUUUAUGCUGUUUCGACCGUAAAUUAAUUACGAUAAGUAUUUUCUUUUAUGAACAAAAAUUAAUUUUUUAUUUUUAUCCAAACAAGCAGGAUCUUAGUAUGAAAUGCCUCUCGAAUUUGAAUCUCAUAGUAUACACAGUAAGCUCCUAAGCUUAAAAAAAAUAGUAUACACAGUAAGCUCCUAAGCUUAAUUUUUUUGAUCGACAUACUCUAAACUUUUAUUUUUUUUUUCUAUUUAAAUUAUGCUAAUUAAUUUAAUUGAUAAUUUCGUUCGUUUUAAUAGACCUAAUAACUAUUAGAUGUUAAUUAUUCAAAUUUUAUUUGUUAAAAAAUAAUUAAUUAAAAAAUUAAUAACACUGGCAGGUUAAUUUACUAUCAUCUGAAUGAUACAUUCAAUAUCGUUAAUAUAGCUCGCUAAAUUAUAUUUAUUUUUAACAGAUUUAAAGCGUUAAAGGAACUCGAACAUUCUUAAUACUGACCAAAAUUUGGUGGAUUCCUCUUCUAAUGAAAUAUGCAUUAGCAUUUGCUCCUACACGUAUUCCGAUAUAUCACACAAAUUCGUUUCUAUAUUAAUAAUAUACGAGAAUAAUAUUGCGAAAACGUAUGUUGAUUUAGAUAGGCCAGCAUUCUAUCUACUUGGCACAAAAAGUCGGAUUCGAUCCAUAAGUACCAUGUUUGUAUAUUUAUAAGUAAAUUUUUUGCAUUUUUCUAAACAACUUUUAAAAUUAUUAGUCAUAUAUGUAGUAUUAUAUUAAAAAAUAGCUAAAAUAUAAAAAAUUCUUUUAUAAAUAUUCGCCUUUUAACUUUUCCUCAGUAAUUUUCAAAAUCUAUAUUUUAACCAUUCAAAAUUUUAAGUUGAUGCGGUAAAGCCAUUCUAACAAAAUUCCCUCACCAUUUCGUUUAUUUCUUGAAAAUAACAGAAAUAUGUUAAAAAAAAGAUAAUUAGAUCAUUUCGCUAUCUUCAUUAGCGUAAUGGCCGAAGUUUUUAGGCUUACAAUAAAAGAGCACUAAUGGCCGAAUAAAGCCAAAAAAAGAAGAAAUAUUUACAGAAAGUUACCGAUAUCAUUGUGACGAUCCGGCCAGCUAGCAAUAGUAACUUUACCGAUCCAAAAAAAUUAAAUUCAAUUAUUAUUACUAGUACGUAAAGCUCAUAUAUUCUAAUCAGAAUUAAUUUUGUAUCCAAUAUGAAACUAUUUGGACAUUAUAAUCAUGGUCAAUGAGAAAUAAAAACGAAACAGUGCGUGUGAGUAGGAAAGGGCGGGAAUGCGGCCAAAGUGAUGUAAAAGUUGGUGGGUCUGCAGUCUGCACCGGCAGCAGGAAGCUCUCUAGCGUGCAGGUGUCAGAAGAGCUUUCGGUGGAUGCCUUGUUUCUUACUUUCUUACCCCCCACCCCCCUCUAUUUUUUAUUUUUCUUUUUCUUUUUCAUUUUCUUUUCUUUUCUUUUCUUUUCUUUUCUCUGUGUGUGUGUGUGUGUGUGUGUGUGUGUGUGUGUGUGUGUGUGUGUGUGUGUUUUUUGCUGCUCCUGCUGCUGCUGGUGGUCGACGAGGACCGACUGCUGUUGGCUGACGCUACUUUCCCUGACGGAUGGUGGGUUUCUGUCGGAAGGCAUUUUCUGAGAAGACGAUGCCUUUUCGUACCUCGUCACACGAGAUGACUGUCAAACCAUUCGACAGAACGACUGUCACUUUUCCAACCUAAAAUUGGGCAGGCGAUGCCCAUCUCCAACACCCCCCUGCACUGUGCAUAAACACGAUUUUGCCAGCGCGGCUUUUUUUCAUUUUCUUUCUUAAUAUUUCGUAGGUGCAAAAAUUCUGCAUACAAUAUCAAAGAUUCCAAUAUAUUUACUAUCACUGCAUACUAUACAAGUCAAUCUGUGCAUAAUAGUUUAUAUGCGGAUACAUCACUCACUUACGAGGACUACUACGUUUUGGUAUACCUCUCUUUCUAAAAAUAAAAUAUUUUGGAUCUCAUAUAUUAUCUAUCUAUAUAAACUGGUGCAACUGUCUAGCGGCCUAUACUGUAUAAGUCAAUUUGCGCAAGCGAGCAUAGAACUUUAGAAUCGUAGCUUGGGCCAAACGGUUAAGUCCGAACCGGCCCGAAAUUCUUAGUCCAUAUUUUUGCGGCCCAUCUCGAAUACGGGCCUGUUUGGCUUUGCGUACGUUUAGACUUCCACAAAUGGUAAAAACAAUUCCAAAGGAAACCAACAUCUAUACCUGGAUCUACUUCAUAUUUAUUCUCUCCAUGUAAAGAGUUAAUUAACAAGAUAAAAUCAUCUGCAGGGUUAAAGGAUUAUUACCACCGAUGUUACCUGGAAUGGAAUUUGUUGUGGUGCAUAGUACGGGUUUGGAAUCGUAGUUUGCUAGUCCCUGUUUGGGUCGGGUGUAAUGAACAUUGGGAUAAAUUUUUUUAUUCCUAAAAUAAUUUACUAUUUCGGAAUCGUCAAGAAUAAAAAUAAAAUUUUGUUUGGUUUAUAAUGCAGCUAUUCCUAGGAAUAAUAAAAAUUAUGUUUGGUUAAUUUUAUGAAAUAAUAGAGAAUAAUGAAAAAGGCGACGGUUGAAUUUGAUAUAAAAUAUAAUUUAAUUAAAAAUAAUUUAUUAUAAAAAUAAUUUAUUAUAAUAUAUAUAUAUAUAUAUAUAUAUAUAUAUAUAUUAUAGAGUCAGCUAUGGUCUUGUAAAGCACCAAGCACUUGGUGCUUGUAAGUGUUUACCGUUAGAUCUACUUCUCAGAUCAUUUUCAACCAUUAGAUUAUACUAUUCAACCAACCACCACUCAACCCUAGGGGGCCCACAUCAUCCUAACGCAUAUCUCUUAAUCCAAUGGCAAAAAUCUACAAGCACCAAUAACUUGGUACUUCUAAAAAUAUAGGAGCUAUAUUUAUAUAUAUAUAUAUAUAUAUAUUAUAUAUAUAUAUAUAUUAUAUAGGCCAUGCCUAAUACUAUUUUGAGUAUUGGGGCCCUCGUCUCAUAAAUUGUUUUCGAUAAUAGAGCUUCCGAAUCGACGAUCCAUGUUAAAAUAUGAUCUAGAGUAUUUGAAAUUGUAGAAAAUAAAUUUCGUAAAUUUUCGAAAUCAUAAUAAAGUCCAUCAAGUGGGCAUAAAAUGAACGGUCAAAAUCAAACGACGUUCUAAAAAAAGAUGAUCGGAUCCUUCAAUUCAAGAUCGGAGUUAUUGAUCUUUAUCUAUAUAGUGAAUAGAAUUUUCUAUAAAAAAAUCAACAAAUUCCGAUUCUUUUACACCGUUAAACGAGCAAGUAUCCCAUACCAGCCGUUAAAAAUUGUCAAAUUUGUGACCUCUUGAUCGUAAGGUAAAUGAUGUCAAAAAAUUAUAAAAUUUGAUUUCUAGAAGUUUUAAAUGCUGUAAAUAACAUUUAACGGUAUGAAUUGUCGAUUCGAAAGCUCUAUCAUCGAAAACAACUUAUGAGUACGAGGGCAAUCGUACUCAUAAUAGUAUAGUAGCCGGAUCCUAUAUAUAUAUAUAUUUAUAUUGAAUUCUACUUAAACUUAAAUUUAAUAAUAAUUUAUUAUAACUUUUAAUUAUAAAUAAUAUGUAUUAAUAUAGUAUAAUUAAUAAUUUUAUAAUAAAAAUAAUUUAUUAUAAUAUAUAAUAUAUUAUUUAUAUAUAAUUUAGUUUUAAUUAAAUUUAUAAUCUUAAUAAAGUUUGGAAUUAAAGCUUGUAAUAGUACUAUUCCGCCAAAAGGAUUUAAUAGUUAAUCCCAAGCUAUUUCGGGAUAACAGAGGAUAACAAGGUUUGACCAGAAUAAAAUACUCCGAUUCAAAAAAUACCCCGAUUGGUGAAAUAGCAGGGAUAACGAAAGUUAUCCCCAUUUUAUUCUCCAAUCAAAUGGGGCCUUAGAAAUACAAUAUGAGGGGGGAAGGAUUAGUCCGACAAUUGUUCAGAAAUAUGAUAGUAGUCCCCUAGGGUUGAGUGUGUGGUUGGUUGACUAGUGUGAUCUAACAUUUAAAAAUGAUGAGAGCGGUAAAUCUAACGGUAGAAAAUUCGGUAGCGCCAAGCACGUGGUGCUAUUGAUAGUAUCCCAGCCAGACUCUAUAUAAGAACUACGCUAGAAUACUAUUAAUAGUACCAAGAAUUAGGCUAGAAUACUAUUAAUAGCACAAAGUCAUUGAUGCUAUUAAGUUUUCAAUUCUUGGAUGAAACGAUAUAUGGUUAAGAAGAUAAUGAUCCCCUAAGGUUGAGUGAGUGGUUGAUUGAAUAGUAUAAUCUAACGGAUGGAAAUGAUCAAAGGGGUUGAUCUAACGUUUGAAAACUUGAUAACACUAAAUGCUUAGUACUAUCGAUAGCAUUGUCGGACACUGUAUAUAAAAUCAAUAAUUACCUUUAUUACAGUAUAGUUUUCUUUUUCAGGAUCGAGUGCUCUCUCUUCUAAUCAAACUCGCCUCAUCUUUAUUUCCAUUAAGCUCAAAUUGAGUACUCUCUCUUAUAACCAAAGAAGCCUCAACUUUUUCCCAUACAAGGUAUGACUCUUUUGUAAUAUUCUAUCUAGUAAAAUAUAUUUCUUUAGGUAACUAAGCAAAUUAAAUUUAGAAAAAACAAAGUAUCUCUCUACUAUUUCGAUUCACCGCUUUUUGUGAUCAGGAUCAAGAAUCCCCCACGAAUCGUUAACUAUGAUCGCUACCAACCUGUGCUAUUUCACUUCAAUCAGUACUCUCUCAUGUAUUUUUUUCCUUUUUACUUCCUCUGCAACUGCUCUGUAAUUACGCCCCUUCAUUUCGCUCCAAGUGCAGCUUUGCGAAAAUUAGAGCCAUAGUAAAGCUUUACAAACCAACCUCAAGUAAAACCGAAUGAUCCGAAAAUCAGAAAAGAAAAACAGGCAAGAUAUUCACAAACGACCGAAAAUAAAUAAGGUGAGUAGAUUAAAGCUUCACCAUUCGCAUGACAGAACAUGAAAUUCAAAUGCAGACUAUACGGAGCCCUGAAAAGCGCCUUUCUGGUAUUGCACUGCAGAAGUUGCUCAAAAUAUCCACAUUUGCCUUGCAAAAUUUUUCUAGUGCACCAUUCUGAAUUAUAUACCCGGAUCCAGCAAGAACAUCAGAGUCUCAUGCAGAUGCAGUUAUUAGAUUUCUUUGAAUCAAAGAUGCUUCACCCGAUAUAUAUGAUGAAAGUUUAGAAACAGUGUGACAGCCCAGCUCGCUAGCACCAAUAACUCAAUGACUCGUUUGGCAUAGACUACUAGCUCCGAAUGCUUAAGUCUAAUUAUUAGUUCUAGGGUGCCCAUCACAUAUAUAACACUCACACUCUCACACAUUAUUCUAUGUGGGAGAUGUGAGACUAUUAGGGUGUCGCAUGCUUUCCUCUAUUUAGAUCAUGACGUCCUCGUCUGCUGGGCUCCAAUCACACACAGUCCAACAUUUGCCAGACAAUGUGAGACCGCAUCUCACGCAUCCGGCAGGUAAUCUGGUUCUAAUACCAACUAUAACGAAUAAGCCCGCUAGUACUAAUAACUCGUUGGGUUCAACCAACUAGCCCAAAAUAUUUAAGCUCAAUUAGUCCUAAUGUGCCCAUCACAUAUAUAAUCCUUAGACUUUCCCAUAUGAAGACGUGGGACCAUUGAGGUGUCACAAACAGUGACAGCUUAGACAUCACAACAAACAAAAUCAUAUCUCACUCUGUUGAUUCAAGAGCACAAGAAAUGAAGAAAGUGCCAUUUCAGAAGGAACGAGCUAACGCUGCAAAGCUCUAUCGAAAGAGACAUGACUAUUUACACCAAGAAGGUUCUGCAGUAUAUAUAGUCCACCUCAAUCACCAGCACUUUGGAGGCAACACUCUGGCCGAAUCUCAACCUACAUACAGUUCUGCAGUACAUAUAAUCCACCAUCUCAAUCACCAGUACUUUGGAGGUAACACAGUGGCCAAAUCUCAAUCAACAGAUUGAAAAUCUCAUGAGCUAUUCAUCUGGUUGCAUUGCCUAACACGAUAAACGAAGAACAUAAUCUUCUAAGAAUGUCCAAAAAAUUUUGCCAAUAGGCUGACAUUUUCUCAAGAAUGCAUCUAUUAUAUAUUACGGACAAAUUCAGUUUGAAAAUAAGUACCUUCUGUUCUCACCACAGUUAUUAGAUUGACUAUAGGUUGCCAAUCAGCCUCGACUGUUGAUAGAUAAUGAUAACUUGCUUCUCAACAGCGUGCUAUGUUUUUUUUUUUUUUUUUUUUUUUUUUUUGAUUGAUCCACGGCCAUAUGUUAAUCAUAAGAACUAGAGAUGCCAAGUAUUUUUAUAGCUGAAGAAGUUCACUAGUAUUAACAACUUGGCAAACAAAACUUUUUAAGCGUGUAGGCCCAAAGGUACUAAUACCACUUUCCUGUCCCUUUGUAUUUUAACCACAUUUCCUAUUUCCUUUAUUUGAGAUAAUUUGGGGUGUGACAAACACCUCCUGUUUAACCCUCCUAUGUUCUCAUGAGGUGUAUACACACAUUCUCCAAUACAAUCCUAAAAAGCAUCCUUGUUGUGUUCAGGAGGCGUAACAAACCACCAAAUACAUUUUGUAUCCUACACCACUAGAAAGCACAAAUAAGUGACCAAUAGAAGUGAAAUAAUACCAUAUAAAGCACGACUAGCCCACAUUAUUAGCAAAUCUUUAAUUAUCCUAAUGAAAAAUUCUUACGUCACUAACACUAACAUUCCAGUCCUUACACUAUAAGACCAUUCUAUUAUCUUGUGAUUUUGAGUUCUUUGGGUUGUGACAAUUCUAAGAGAGAGUAAUAAAGACUAUCCAUGAAUUUGAAUUGCAAUUGGUAGACUGAACAACAGUUUCAACAGGCUUCAUGGUUUUUCUUGACCAAUUCAUCUAGGAAAUCGGCUAAUUGCGUAAAGGAUAAAACCGGACAUGAAAAGAAAAACUCUAAUCGAAGUAUUUUCAUCUAAAAUCCAAAGAGUUUUCAAAGCUCACUGGCCAAGUCAUUCACUUUUUUCAAGAGCAGCAGGCGCUCAUGAGGCUCCUAGAGGUUGAUUUGUUACGAAGUCCUUUUCCUGGAUACCAUCUUUUGCUUACUGAUUUACCAACACACCUUAUCCUAAAGUGCUUAUGUUAGGCUUUGUAAUGGACAAGCAGGUGAAUUUGACUCGAUCAAGUUUGCUGUAUGAACACUGACGGAGGUUAAUGUAAUUGUUCUGUCGGUAACAAAAUAUGCUCUAGUAAUAUCACUGCAUUGCUCUAACUAUAAGCUGUAAAAAAUACUCCGCUCGUCUGUUAGUAUACAUUCACAUUUAUUAGAUUGCAAGCGACAGAACAGUUAAUCAAAUACUAUUUUUUCAUCAGAAACAAAGUAGCAAACAAACCAAACAUUACAUUACCGGUAACAGAUGAAAAUACAAAGAAAAUGCAAGGACUAAUUGCGCUUUCAUUUCAUUUGUACAUGGAAAAAGCUGGGACAUUUCACAUGAUAAAUCAAAGAAGAAGAAGAAGAAGCAUAGAGUCUCAGCAAUUCUCUACACCUAUUUAUACAUAGAGCAACGAAAACUAACCUGAUCACGGGCAAUGGAAGUGGAAGUAAAAGAUAACCGCAUCGUCAAAAUCGAAUACGAGAUCUCCUCCUCACUCAAAAAGGAUCAGAAGAAUCGGCCAAAAAUAAAUCCAAAUCGGAGCAAACCCAGAUCCCAAAUAAACGAAUCUAGGUCAAAGGAGCCGAGGAGGAGCUCUCCCACGCCCCAUCCCCCCUUUCCAUCUUCUUCAGCUGCCACCGCUUAAACACCAAGAACCCCACGAACCCCACCUGCAUGACAAUGGCGAUCCCCGCGAACAGCAACCCGACCUUCUGCCCAUUAUUGAGCCUCCGCUCCUCGCGCGGCGCCAUCGGGACGAGGGGGCNAGGCGAAGGGGAGGGGGAGGGGGAAGGGGAAGGGGAAGAGAGGGUGAGGUAGGGGGAGGCGAGGAGGAGGGCGAGGAGGAGGUUUAGGGUUACCGUUCGUGGCUCGAAGGAGGGGAUGGAGGUAGGGUUAGGGUUAGGGUUAGGGUUAGGGUGAGGUUUUCCGGCCAUGGCGCGGCGGCGGCGCUCCGUCUCUCCGGGGAGCUGAGCCACAUAAAGGAAGAGGCAGCGAAUUAUUAUUAUCUUUAACUCUCUUGAGUGAGUGAGAAAGGAGAAGAGAUCUGAGACACAGAAGAGGAAACAAACUGAGUUGAGUGGAGACUCACUGGAGAGGACAUACUACUUGGUAGACCAGUUGUGCCAACUCACCUCUUGGUUUAACCAACGGAAGUUGGCCAAUUGGCACUCCACGACAUCUUAAUUUUAGUUAUUAUGAUAAUAUAUAUAAAAUAAAUAAUAAUAAUCAAUGAUUUAAAAAUCCGAUGGACGAACUACUGUAGCUUAGUUUAUAAAGCGGUCCGGUGUAAUCCUUUGAACGAGAUAAAUUAAGGGGGUGUUGGGUCUACCUUCUAAAAAGCGCUUUUGGGCUGAAAAGUGAUUUUCGGCUCAAUAGGGUGUUUGACAACUCACUUUUAAAAUCUGAUUCUACUUUUUAAAAUCGGAAAACUGAUUUUGAAAGCUCCAGAAUUAGAAGCAGAAAAAAGCUGCUUCUUGAAAUCUGAUUCUGAUUUUAAAUUUAAACUUCAAAUUUUUAUUUUUAUUUUUAUUUUAAUAUUUAAAUUUAAAUUUAAUUUUAACUUUUAAUUUUCAGAUUUAUUUUUGAAUUUUUAAAUUUUAACUUUUAAAUUUUAAAUUUUUAAAAAUAGAUUUCAAACUUUAAAUUUUAAAUUUUAAUUUUUUUGAAUUUUUAAAUUUUAACUUUUAAAUUUUAAAUUUUUAAAAAUAGAUUUCAAACUUUAAAUUUUAAAUUUUAAUUUAAAAUUUCAAAUCUCAAAUUUUAGAUUUUAAAAUUUAAAAUUUAAAAUUUAAAAUUUCAAAUUUAAGAUAAAAUUUCAAAUCUAAAAUUUGAGAUUUUAAAAUUUAAAUGUAAAAAUUUAAAAUUUUUAAAUUUUAAAUUAUAAAUUUUAAUCUUCAAAUUAUAAAUUUCAAAUUUUUAAAAUUAAAAAUUUAUAAAUUUUAAUCUUCAAUUUUUAAAUUUAAGAAUUUAAAUUUUAAAUACUCGAAUUUUUAAAUUUAUAUUUUAAAUUUCAUAAUUAUUUUUAAAUUUUUAAAUUUAAAUUUAAAUUUAAAUUAAAUUUUAAUUUUUUAAUUUAAAUUUAAAAUUUAAAAUUUAAAUUUUUAAAUUUAAAUUUGAAAUUUAAAAUUUAAAUAUAUUUUUAAAUAUAAAUAUUUUAUAUUUUAAAUUUCAUAUUAUUAUUUUUUACAUUUAGAUUUUAAAUUUUAAUUUUAAAUUUUAAAUUUCAAAAUUUAAUUUUAGAUUUUAAAUUUUAAAUUUUAAAUUUUAAAUUUAAUUUUAGAUUUUAAAUUUUAAAUUUUAAAUUUCAAAUUUAAUUUUAGAUUUUAAAUUUAAAUUUAAAUUCUAAAUUAAAGUUUGAAUUUAAUUUUAAUUUAUAUUUUUAUAUAUUAAAAUUAAUAUUUUAAAAUUCAUAAUAUAUAUAUUUUUAAAUUUAUAUUAUUAUUUUUAAUUUUUAAAUUUCAUUAAUUAUUUUAAAUUUUAAUUUUAAAUUUUAUUAUUUUUAAAAUUAAUAAUUGAAAAUUUUUAAAUUUUGUACAAUUUUGAAAUUUAAAAGAUUUAAUUUUAAUUCAAAUUUAAAUUUAGAUUUUAAAUUAUUUUAAAAUAAAAUUUGAUAAAAAUAUUAAUUUAUGCCAACAUAAAAAAAAAUUUGCCAAACAGCUUUUCAAAAUCAUUGUAGAAAAAUCACUUUUAUUUAAAUUCCACCAAAUGCUUUACAGCUUUUAACCAAAAUUAUUUUUCCAAACUAAAAUCACUUUUUCAGAAAUUACUUUUUCAGAAGCUAGACCAAAUAGGCCCUAAAAGUUUUUUGAUCCGUACAUGCUGACGGUUCAUCUAAUCGGGGAAUUAACCAAGUCAUGUUGAAAUUCAGUGGCUUAAGAUUAACUAAGCUAUUUUUAUUUUCUAUUAGAAUAGAUGAGCCUUAUAAAAAAAGAGUGAAACAUGAAAACUUAUAUUUACUUAAUUUGGUCUAGAAAUCGGUAUUUUAUAAUUAAGGAUGAUAUUUGAAUAAUAAUAAAGAGUAGGUCUUGUGCGCUAUUAGGAGCACGGAGGCCUCCUUGCUCCUAAACCGUUUUCGAUGAUGAAGUUUUUGGAUCGACGAUCGGCUCCGUUAGACUUAAUCUAGCAUAUUUGAAGUAUUUAGAAAAUAAAUUUUGCGAUAUUUCGAUAUUAUUUACCUAGUGAUCGAAGGGUUUAAAAUCAACAAUUUUUAAUGGUUGAUGUAUACCGUUUACAAGUUUAACGGUGUAGAAGUAUUCAAAACAAAUAAAAUUUUGAUAGAAAUUUCUUUAUACUAUUUACAGUAAGAUCAAUGUCUUUGAUCGAAAAUUUUAGUACUAUAUCACCACAUUUUGUGAGAUUUUUAUUUUCAGCCGUUGAUUUUGAACCCUUUCGAGCGUUAGGUAAAUGAUAUCGAAAAAUCACAAAAUUUAUUUUCUAGGUACUUCAAACACGCUAGAUCAAGUCGAACGGAGUCGAUCGUCGAUUCGGAAGCUCCAUCAUCGAAAACGGUUUAGGAGCACGGAGGCCUCCGUGCUCCUAAUAGCACACCAGAGGUACUCUAUAUAAUAAAAUUUAAAAAUAAUAAUUAAAUAUUUAUUAUGUAAUGCUGAUAUUACUAGCUCGAUCAGAGGUUGACCCACCCAUUUGCUAAACUAGUGACUCUUGAUUCAAUAAUAUUUUCAGGUAGUUGUUCAAUCUGAUUUUUGAUACAUUGAUGAUAAUUUGAAAGAUUGUGUCACAACUCAUAAUAAGUAGAUGUUUGGAGGAUAAGGCUUGGUUUAGGGUUGAGAUAUCUAAAUUCAAUUUUUUUGUACUUUGAAACAUAUGAAAAUUUAAUAUAAAGAAUUUUACUAUGUCCGUGCACACUUCUGUGGACUUAUAUAUACCAGUCAUGAGAUUUUAAAACGCUACGUGAUAUUCAUGUGAAUAUAGAUGAAUAUCGUAAGAUUCACACAGAUAAGAGUAAAUGAUGUGGAUCCCAUAUUAUUCUAACUAAUAAAAAUAUGUAUGUAAGAUUCAUAAGGUAUAGCAUUUUUUUAUUAUAAAAUGCAUUUGAAAGUUGCCACUUAAAAAGAAAAGCUGUUAAUAACAUCAAAGGAGAAAAGAUUAAAUAUGCUUUAGGAUUAUUAUUAUUUUUUUGUACAUUUGAAACAUUGCAAAUCCAAACUAAAUCUAUAUUGUAUUGUAUUAUAUUGAUUAUUAAAUUUUAUCGCAAUUAUGUUUAGGUUGUUUCGUAUGUAGAAGGAAUCCAUGUUUUUCAUUUCUUUCAUUAGCUCUUGUGUUAAAUGCACGAGAUGAUUUAAUUUCCACCACAGAAGUUAAACUAUGACUCAAUCUAUUAAGAAAAAACUCGAGGAAUUAGAUAUUAUAUUCUGUCUUAAAAUGAUUUUUUUCAUAAUAAAAUAAAUUACUUUGUAGGUAAAAUAGUAUAUUCUAACAACUCGUGAAUACCAAAAUCUUUUAAAAAAUAAAAAUUAAACCUCUAAGAUUGAUUAUUUCACAUAUGCCCUGCUUGGAACUAUUAAUUUCAUCAAUACUCUUCUAAGAUUAAUAAUAUCACGAAUGCCUUCAAAUAUAUAAAAAAUUAUCAUAAUACCCUCCACUAAGGUCCGUUAAAUUUCCUCUAAAAUGGAAUUAAAUUUUCAAAAUCCCAUUUUACCCUUUAUCUCUUAUCAAUAGUAGAAAUACUAAUAAGUAUCUUAAGAUAAUUUUAUAAAUUUAAAUUUGACUAUUUAAUAUACUAAAUAUUAAAUUCAAUUAUUAAUAUAUAUUAACUAUUAAAAAAUAUAUAAACAUUGUAUUAUAUAUAGUAUGUUUUUAUAUAAUUUUGGUUUUUGUUUUUGGCUUUGGGUUUCGAUUCAGGUUCGAUUUGGAUAUACAUCAAGAUCAUAAUUAAAUUUGAAUAUAAUGGAACUUCAUUUUUUUUUGUACCUAUAACUGGAACUAUCCUUACUCAGCAUCGAUUAAGCUCACCUCAUUCAAAAUCGAGUUCGGAUAAAAUUGCAUAACUAUAUCAAUUUACAUUCCUAAUUAGUAAUAGUAAUUUCGAAAUAAAUGAUAGAUUUAUUUUUUUUUCUAUUUAAUCAAAAAUAAAUCACAUAACUAUACGCAUGCAUUUUUUUAUCACUUGAAAAGAAAGAGAGUUUUGUUCGAAAGCUCAAAUAUAUUAUAUUUUAGUUUUUUAAUGCAUUUAACGUAAAUAAAAUUAUUGAGAAUUAUUUUGAGUAAAAAUAUUUUUAAGCUACCAAGAUUAAAGAAAGAUUGGAAAAAUUCUCAACUUUUAUUUUUAUUUAAAUUUUUAUGCAUAGUUAUUUAUUUGCUAAAAAAUAAAUAGAGCCAUUAUAUUUGGUGAAAUCAUCAAAAACCUUGAUAAAAUUUUCAUUUUUCAUACACUAAAAUUAGUUAAUUUUUUUAAAAAAUUAAAAGUUAAUAGGAUGUCAAUUAAAAGAGUAACAGUUUUAGGAACCAUUUCAAAACGACAUAUAGUUAAGGGGUCUCCAUACAUUUUUACUUAAGGGAUAGUUGUGGGUAAAUAAGUCAUUUUAAAAGUUAACUCAUCUUUAACCAUUUAAUAACUAUAGUAAAGCUAGCAUAACUAAUGGUAGGAGUAUUGAUGAUAAUGUUCUAUGUUUAUAGGGAUAUAUGUAAUAUUUUAAAUUUUAUAGGGGCAUAUAUGAUAUUUUAGACUUUGGGAGGGAUAUAUAUGAAAUUGCCUCUAUUGAUAAGAGAUAAAGGUUAAAAAUGAGAUUUUGAACUCCAUUUUAGAGGAAAUUUAAUGGAUUUUAACAAGUAGAGGGUAUUUAUGAUAAUUUUUGAUAUUUUGGAGGGCAUUCGUGAUAUUAUUAAUUUUAGAGCAGUAUUGAUGAAAUUAAUAGUUCCAAGAAGGGCAUCUCUGAAAUUAUCCCAUAUUUAAAUUACUUAUUCCCAUAUCCAAGCAGGUCUUUGGAAAGAUUAUGUGACAGGAGGAGAGCGAAGGGACAGAUGAGGUAACUUUUAAAUGGCGUUUUGGAGAUCAGAGAUCCGACGGUGUAGAAAGGUUUCAUCUCAAACGGACGGUUGGAUGAGAUUUUGGGCCCGAGAGAGCUAACGGGCCUGUUGGGCCGAGCGUUUGCGGGUCACAUUGCGCGGCCUUUUGAGAAGGAUUAAUUACACUUUACUACACUAUAUUUUAUAUAUUUUUUAUUUUUAUACUAUAUUUUUUUAGGACUUUUUUGCGUUUUGCCGGUUUGCCCUCUCAAAUUUUUUUUUUUCACAAAUAGCCUUACAAAAUUUAUAUUUGCAAGAUUAGUCCUAUCCCCACCAUGCAAGCACCUUGCGAGCAUGUUGGAUGGUAAAAUUAAGUUGAACAUAAUAAAUCAUUCACUGUGUUCAAUUUAUAGCUCGCACUUAGUGUGAAGUUCAUCUCAUACACCGCAACACUAAAAUCCAAAAUUAGGGAAGGCGGGACGGAUAUGUAUGAUCGAUAUUCAUGGGGCAGGUCUCUUGCAUGCAUUUCAGUCCGCUGCAUUUACCUUCCCACCGGAAAAGUAAUCCCACAUGAAAAACUUAAUUACGAACCACUAGCUUUUAGCUCUCUUUUUUUNACAAAACCACACACACACACACACACACAAAUUACGAGCUCAAUUUUGCAAAGUAGAGAGAGAGAGAGAGAGAGAGAGAGAGAGAGAGGGGGGUAGCAUGCUACCUGUUUUGUUUAUUUUAUUUAAAAAAAAACUUAGCUAGAAAUGUGAAUCAAAUAGAAUUCGAACUUGGAACCUCGGAUACCAACUAUCAAAUUUUUUGCCACUUAAGAUAGGAACAGUCGGUGGCUUUUAGCUAUUUAAUUAACCAAUAUUGUAACUUUGCUUCAAUUUAGAAAUGCAAGAAAAAGUUGGUAUAUAUACUGUUCAUUAUGAAUGCAUGUAUCUUUACAUUUGAGUUGUUCGUUGUUAGUAACUUAACUAACACUCGUACUCGAAAUUAAGAAUGUCUCGUUUAACUCGUCGAAACAAAAGAAUUAUUGUGUUGUUUACUUUUUGAAACAUGUAGGGGUCCGGCCCCACAAUGUUCUCCCCUCCAAAGAACGUACUUACAAACUAACAGUGCCCUAUAAAUUUACACUACGUACCUUUUUUAGCUUUGAGAAUCUAUUGUUAUAUAUAGAGAGAGAGAUGAGUUGGAAUGCUAUUAGCAGUAAAUACGCUCUGUUUCCAUCCACUUAUUUUUGAUGAUAGAGUCGCCAAAUCGAUGAUCGACAAUGUUGAACGUGAUCUAUACAAUUUGAAGCAUCUAUAAACCAAAUUUUAUAUUUUUUCGAUAUUAUUCUUUUUUCCAUCAAAUGGACACAAAAAUGAACGACUGAAAAUGAAUAUUCUUUAAAAAGUGAUGAUAUGAGUCUUGUAAUCAAGAUCAAAAGCAUAAUUCUUAUUCUAAAUAGUUUUAAAAAUUUUCUAACCAAAAUUCAAUUGAUUUGGAUAUUUUUAUACUGUUAAAUGAGAAAACGUCUUAUAUCGACUAUUAAAUUAUAAACUUUGAAAUCCUUUGAUCUCUACGCCAAUAAUGUCAAAAAGAUUUGAAAUUUGACUUUUAAAUACUUCAAAUGGUAUAGAUCAUGGUCAUCAUUAUAAAAAAGGAAUAGCUGGCAACGGAGCAUGUUUGCUACUCAUAGCAUUCCAGUUUAACUCUCUCUCUCUCUCUCUCUCUAUAUAUAUAUAUAAUAUGAAGUGUACUGUCGAAUUAUGAUUAUUAAAUUUUUAUAUCUGUUUAAAAUAGUAAUUAAGUGUAGGAUUUUAAAUUUAUGCUGUUUUUUGUUUUGAGAAAUACUAAAUAUUUGAACUCUCAUUCAAACCUCAUUUACUACUAGUCGAUAGUAUUCUAACACAAUUUUAGAAGUAUUUCAGCACAAAUUUUUGGCUCGCGCAUGGAGUUUGAAUAAGAGCUUUUGAUCAUUGGAUCAAAAACAAACAAUGAUAAUUCAUGAUGGUUCCUUUUUUGUGCAUAAUUCAACGGUCAAAAUGUUGGAUUCAAGAGCCAAAGAUUUAGAAGCACCAACCCUUUAGCACUUCUAAAAGCAGCCCAGAGAGUGCGGAGUGCUAAGUUCUCUUGAGAUCCAAUAUUACCAUAUUGGAGUGCUAAGUAUGCAUAUAGUACCACAAAUGUUGGAUGAGUAAAUUUGGGCCAAACAUGGCGAAGAAAAGGAGCUCUCAAUGGUUUGCCAGAAAAAAAAGAUGAAGAAAAAAGAAACAACCAAAUAUAUUAUAGUUGUAUGGACCCUUUUCAAAUGAUCAAUUACUAAUAAAUAACUUCAUAAAGUUGUCAUGCAUGUAAUAACUAUGUGAUUAUUACAUAUAUAAUUUGUGGAAUAUACAUAUGUACGAGAAUUUUAAAAAGAUGCAUUAAAGGACAUAAUUAAUCUGAGCUCUCCGAGACCAAAAGAACCAGAAAAUAAAUCAAUUAAAAAAUAAAUCACAAUUAUCAUAUAACAUAUCCUGCAGAUUGUUCGAUUUUACAAUCUAACUAUAGCAAAUUUCCAUGAAGAAUUAACUUGUCUCGACGUACGAUGGAAAUUUAGCAAAUGACAGAUUCUUUUCCUUAUUAAUUUGUUCAAUUACGUAGGAUGCUCCAAAUGUUACGUAGGAUGCUCCAAAUGUUAGUUUGCUCAGCUACUCUCAAGUUUCAAACAAUGUAUUGUUUUUCAAACCCUCAUUUAAUACAUGAAAAGGCAUUGAGUACUAUGUGUCAUGGGCCAAAAAAAGGGCUAGAGACGUACCGCUCUUCGACAAAGAUAUUAAUCAAAGGCCACGGACUUCAGAAUUUUUUAAUCGUGUAUAUUUAACGAAAAACGUCAAAACAAGUCACAAUUGAGAGAAAAGCAUACGUAAUAAUUUUAUAUUUGACAUUACAAAUAUUUAAUGAGGCUUAUUAAUUAUAUGCAUCAAAAUAGAUAGAUUUUACAUGAUUUAUCAUGCGCAGUGCUAUCGGUACACUCUAAAGUAGAUAUAAUUUUUCAUCCACUCUAUCAAAAAGUCAUUAGUUUUUUAUUUAUCACAUCAUCUUUUUUUUGUUUUUAUUAAAAAUUAUUUGAUUUUUCGUGAAUACUAGACUGCAGGUGUAAAAUCUGCACCUCUUUGUAGAAUUUUUUAUUUUACCGUGCCAUCAUAUAAUUUCUUUCAAGAGUCUAGUAAAGAAGCUGCAUAUAUGCUAAAUUACUUGCAAUCUCAAAUACAUGCAAAAUCGCCAAGAUCUGCGCCAUUGUUUUCUCUCCACUCUUCUUGGAUGGUUUCGCUAAACCAAAGCGAAUCCUCACCGGCAUGAGAACCGAUCGCGUUGCCAUCGUCUUUGUCCCGGUUGUUAUUGCAUAGACUGUAGAAUCCAUCAUCCGCGAAGCUCGACAUGAGCUCUUCCAUGUUGAAGUCCAUGAACAGAUCGAUCGAACCGGCAUGCGGAGGAAGCAAGGAAGAAGAUGGUGUCUCGUUGCUCGGAGGAGCUAUAUUCUCAUUGUUUGGCUUUGCGGUAUCAUCUAGAUCUUGUAGCGUCUGGAGAUAAACUUUGGUGCACCUCACUGCUUUGGUUCGGAUAACUUGAUGGGACUGUUUGUCGGCUGUAGCAGUUGCUUCUGAUGAGUCCAAUACAUUAACAUCUCUUCUCUUCGAGUUGUGCACAGUUUGUCGGGGCUCUGCUUUUUUGCUAAGGUUUGUGUUCCAGUAAUUCUUGAUUUCAUUGUCUGUUCGCCCUGGAAGUCUCCUUGCUAUUAGGGACCAUCUACGCAAAAGAUCAAUUGAUGAAGAUAGAGCGUACGUAUGCAUUAAAAUGAUAUAUUUUGUGAAGAGAGGCUGAGUUAUAAGCUACCUGUUGCCAAGGAGCUUGUGGAGUUUGAUGAUGAGCUCCACUUCGUCGUCAGAAAUGUUUCCCCUCUUGAUACCGGGUCUCAAAUAAUUCAUCCAUCGAAGGCGACAACUCUUCCCACAUCGCUUUAAUCCUAUAUUAAUUGUUACGAAACAUGAUCGAUCAUCAUGAAAAGAUAGCGAAACAAUUAAUAUAUAAAAAGCUGGCAAAGUACAAGCUAAGGCGAAUCAUGGCUUAAUUAACUGAACCUUGAUCUCGAUCUCUCACCUGCUCUUGUUGGGAGAUCUCUCCAUUUUCCUUCACCGUGAAGCUUGAUGUACUCGGUAAGGAUCUUAUCUUCAGAAACCGACCAUGCUCCUUUAUUUUGUCCCUCCUUAGAACAACAAGGUCUCCUCCCCAUCUCCACUCUCCUCUUCUCUACUCUCUCUACAUCUAUCCAACUAUGCAACUUCGUUUGGUAUACACCAUGUGGCGAUGCAUAUAUCCAUGUUAUUUAUAUAGGGUUAAUUACAAGGCUACACCAACGAUGCAAUGCUCUAUAGAAAGUUUGGUGCAUGCACCUCACUGCUUUGGUUCGGUCACAUCAACAAAACAUCUUAGCUGCAUUUUAUUUGGGUAUUAGUAAGAACUGCUUAUGUUAAAGAUAGGUACAAGUUCAUGUAUAAGCAGUAACUAGACUAAUUUUAUAUUUAGAUGAAAAUUGAGUUGUUUCUAGAAAUAGGAAAAAUAGUGUUUGGAUGAUUAUAUUGUAAUAAAGGAAAUAAGAGUUAUCAUUUUAAAGUGAAUAAGAGUUAAAUUAAAAUUAUUUUAUUUAAUUAAUUAACAUCAAAAUAUUACUUAAAAAUAAUAAAUUAAUAUUAAUAAUUAUAAAUAAUAAAUUAGUUAAAUAAUAAUAAAUGAAAUAAUAAAUUGUAAACAAUUAUAAAUAAUAAAUUAUUAGCAAUUAUAAAUUAUAAAUUAAUUAAUUAACAAUAAAUAAUUAUAAAUUAUAAAUUAUUAAUUAAUAAAAUUUUAUUAUUAAAAAUAAAUUAAUUAGAUAAUAUAGUCUAAAUAAAAUAAUAAUAAUUCUAAAUAAUAAAAUUAGUUUAAUAAUUAUAAAUAAUAAAUAAAUAAAUAAUUAAUAAUAAAGUCAAUAAAAAUUAUAAAUUACUAAUUAAUAAUAAAUUACAAAUAAGAAUUAUUAAUAAUUAUAAAUAAUAAAUUAUUAAUAAUUAUAAAUAAUAAUUAUUUAAUUAAUAAUAAAAUUAUUAAUUAAUUAAUUAUUAAUAAUUAUAAAAAUAAUAUAUUAAUAAAUAUAAAUUAAAUAAUUAAUAAUAGUAAAUUCUUAAUAAUUAUUAUAAUAAAUUAUUAAUAAUUAUAUUACAAAUUAAUUAAUUAAUUAAUUAAUUAAUUUUAAUUAAUUAAUAAGAAAUUAAAUAGUUAAUUAUUAAAUAAAUUAAUACUAAUAAAUUAAUGAUAAAUUAGUUAAUUAUAAAUUAAUAAAAUAACCAAUUAAUUAUAAAUUAAUAAAUAAAUUAAGUAAUUAUUAAUAAUUAUAAAUAAUAAUAAUUUAAUUAAUAAUUAUAAAUAAUAAAUUAAUAAAUUGUUUUAUUAUUUAAGCAAUAAAUAAUAAUUUAAAAAUAAUAAUUAAAUUAAUUAAUUAUUUAAUAUCAUAAUUAAAAUUAUUUUUAGACUUUAAUUAACUUUAUUCUCACCAGGGAAUAAGGUUGUUCAAGGAAAAAGGUGGAACAAUAGUUCCGAUAUUAUACUGGGUUAUUCCAAAAAUCUGAGAGCUACUGUUCUCGGAUACUUAACACAGCAUUUGGGAACAAAGGGAAAAACAAGAGCUUAUUCCAUUCCUUGUUCACGAACCAAACACUACCUUCGCGAGCCGUGCUUUAGCUAAUGAUGGCAUACUUAUGGACACCGCCAUUCACAAUAAAUAGACUAUAAAAUAUGCAUUAAACAUAGCUUUCUGUAGUUAGAUAUUUUAUAUUAUAUAUAUUAUAUUUAAGGUUAAUUGCAUACAAGUUCCCAAAAUAUAGUGAAUUGCGGAUAUAUUCCUGCAAAUCUCAACUUUCAUAAAUUAUCGCUGCAAAAGUUCUAAUGUAUUCAGAUAUGUUCCUCUGGUUAGGAUCCGUUAGAGAAUUAUUUAUUUUUUAACAGUAGGUUUGUAAAAUGACAAUUUUACCCUCACAAAUAUUUCCUUCCAGAACAACCCUCUUCCUCUUUCUCUUUCUUCUCGGGCUGCCGGAGCGGACGGCUGUGGCGGCGAUGUCGCGGAGCAUAGGGACCAGGGCGACCACGGAUGGUCCCGCGGAGCGGACGACCACGGAUGGUCUCGAUCGCACUCGCACGGUAGCGCCAGCCGUUAGUAGCUGUCCGAUCUCUCCAGGCUUAGUAUUGACCCUCGCGCCAGCACGUUCUCCUUCUCCUCUGACGCCGUCCUCGCCUCCCCCCACCCCCCCGAAGAAUGGCUGCACCAACGCCACACCCCUCAAUCAACCGGGGCCUCCGCGCGACCGCCGCUGCAGAGCUGUGCCGCCGCGUGGUACGAGAUGGCGGCCCCCGCGCUGUCCCCGCAGAGCACCACGCGCGAGGGGUCGCAUCUUGGCGCACGAGUUCACACAUCGGGUGGGGAAUGAGGUCGAGGUUGGGAUGGGCUGUGAUCAUGUCGGCGAUGGUGCAAAGGAUCCGGGGAUCGUCGUCAUCGUUGGCGGCGUGGGCCAGGCAGGAGUCGUCAAGGAGGACGAUGGGGAGGUUGCGGCACGGAGGGAACUUGGGGACCAGGGCGCAUGGGGCGAAGGCUACGGCAGGGGCGGCGUCGGCGUCGACGAUCUGCUUGACGAUCUCGACGGGGGUGUUGAGGGGGUUGGUGGUGGUGAGCACGGCGCCGAGGCCGUCGGAAGAGCUCGUGACGACGGCCCAUGUGGACACGACGAUCGCGGCUCCUCCUUCUUCGCCGCGAUAGCCCGCCGCAUCUCCUCCCUCGCGAUGACCACUCCGGCAAGCAGAAGAGGAAGAGAAAGAGGAAGAGGGGUAAAAUUAUCAAUUCACCUUAUUAAUUAAUCAUGAUUAAGUAUUUUAACGGUAGUUAACUAAAUAUUUCUAGCGGAUCCUAACGGUAGGGACUUAUCUGAAUACAUUACGAUUUUUGCAGGGAUAACUUAUGAAAAUUGAGCUUCGCAGGAAUAUAUAUGCAAUUCACCAUAUUUGCAGGGACGUGUAUGCAAUUAACCCUUAUAUUUAUAUUAUAUUUUAUAGUAUUAAUUAUUAAAUAUUUUAUCAAUCAUUAAUAUUUAAUUUGUGCGGUGUAUAAAGCAUUAGUAUGCACGAAGUGCAGCAAAGGUUUCUUCUCCUUUUGAAUUUAUGAGUAUAUCCUAUUAAAUAUUCUCUACACAAAGUAUAUAUUUUUACAUACACUGCAUGCCUAAAACCCUUUAAUAAAAAUUUUAAAAAAUUCAUCAAAUAUAAUUAAAAUUAUUAGACUUUAUAGACAAUGUAUAUUUAAUUAAAAUUUGAUAUUAGAAUAAUAAUCAUCUAAUAUAAUUACAUAUGAUAUUAGAAUAAUAAUCAUCUAAUAUAAGUUGCGCUAUAUAGAAUAGGUGCAUAACUACAUAUAAUAGUUUCUCUUUCUUCAAUCAAUCUUAACAAGACAAAAACACUCUCAUUUUUUCUUCAAUUUGAAAUAACUCUUCCAAUUUUAACUUUUUAGGCAUAAAUUUAUUUAUAGAAUAACUUUUAAACCUAAAAUUUUGAUUAAUUGUUUAAGCAAAAUUAUUAGUAUAAUUUAACUUUACAAAUGCUGGAAGUUAAGAAAAUAUUAAUAAAAUGAUUAUUUUUAUAAUGUAGAUAAGAGUACUUUACAGCUUUGCUUUUCUGUAUUUUUUAGUUAUAUUUUUUAAUUUUAAAAUUUUAAUAAAUAUAUAUAUUUUAAUUUGCCUGAAAUACUACCUACCUGCCAUGCAGCGUGGGUUUUAUACUAGUAUGAUUGAUUCUCAUUUUCCACUUCAAAUUUUGAUCCGUUUCUUCCACUCGAGAAAGGAGUUUUUCCGGUGCACAGAGAGCGCAUUCCCGUUUAGUUAUUAAGAGUCCGAUUUGUGUGUUUUUAGAAGCACGGUAAGCAUCAUGCUACCAAAUUAUUUUCGAUACUAAGACUUCCUAAACAAUGAUCGGCUUUUUUAUAUUUAAUCUAAAGUAUUCGAAAUAUCUGAAAAAUAAAUUUUGUUAUUUUUCGAUAUCAUUUACCUAGUAAUAAAAAAAACUCAAGUCAAUGGCCGGAAAUAAAUAGUUCAUAAAAAGUGACAAUAUAUGGUGCCGAAAAUUUUAGAUCGAAAAUAUAAAACUUAUUUUAUAUAGUAUGAAAAAAAAAUUUAAAAUUUUAUAUGAUUUGAAUAUUUCUAAAUCGUUAAAUUUGCAAACAGAAUGAAUAGAACAACUUUAGCAUGCUCGAUUCGAAAGCAUUUUGCAAGGGAUACAGAAUUAUAUAUAUGUGUGUCUUGGCUAGGAAAAUUUUUCCAAAUUAAGUCGAGAAAUUUUAGAGCAUACUUAGGGCUGGCAAAUGAGCGAGCCGGCUCGUGUUCGACUCGCGUUCGGCUCGAUAUUCGGCUCGCUCAAGCUUGGCUUGAAUUAAUUUCAAGUGGAGCUUGAGCCUAAAUUUAGACUCAAAAUUAAUUUUAAGCCAANCGUUUGCAAGUUUAACGGUGUAGAAAUAUCUAAAUCACAUGAAAUUUUGAUAGAAAAUUUUUUAUACCAUAUAAAACAAGAUCAAUAACUUUGAUCUAAAAUUUUAAUGUCAUAUCAUCAUAUUUUGUAAGAUUUUUAUUUUCAGUCGUUGAUUUUGAGCCACUUCGAUCACUAGGCAAAUGAUAUCGAAAAAUCGCAAAAUUUAUUUUUUAGAUACUUCAAAUACUCUAGAUCAAGUCUAACGGAGCCGAUCUUCGAUUUGAAAGUCCGAACAUCGAAAAUAACUUGGAAGCACGGAGCGCUCCGUGCUUCCAGAAGAAUACCAGACGCACUAUAUAUAUAUAUAUAUAUAUAUAGUUUACUAUACUAUUAAUAGUACCAACCACUUGCUAUUAGGUUUUCGGCCCUUGGAUAAAGGGAUGUAUACUUAGGAUGAUAGUGAUUCCCUAUAGUUAAGUGGGUGGUUAGUUGAAUAGUAUGAUUUAUCGGAUGAAAUUAGUCAAAGGGGUAGAUCUAAUGGCACAAAAAUUCGAUACCACUACGCAUUUGGUGCUAUCGAUAAUAUAGUAGCUGGACUCUCUCUAUCUCUCUCUCUCUCUCUCUCUCUAUAUAGUCCGUCUAUUAUACUAUCUAUAGUACUAAUCGUUUUGUGCUAUCGAGUUUUCUGCCGUUAGAUCUACUUAUAUAUAUAGAAUCCGGCUAUUAUACUAUUGAUAGUACCAAGCAUUUGGAGCUAUCGAGUUUUCUGCCGUUAGAUCUACCCCUUUGGUCAUUUUCAUCCAUUAGAUCAUACUAUUCAACUAUCCACCUCCUCAACCUUAGUGGCUACUAUCAUCCUAACUAGACAUCUGUAGUACCCUUGUUUAUUUAUUUAUUUUUUUAAAUUUUUUUUAGUCGGUUGGUGAUGCAUGGGGGUGGCUUUGGAUGCCACGUGCACCCCCCAUGCAUCCUUAUCUUGUGGCCUACAGAGGGAUAGUGGUGAUUUGUAAUUUCCCUCUCUCUCUAGUUGGAAGUGGAGAGCUCGUGGAGGCUAUAGUUGGAGAUUGGAGCNUAUUUUGGAUUUGGACUAUGUAUAUGAAACUCAGUUUGUUUAUCUUCUGUUUUUUUUAGCAGCUCUCUACUACUGUUCGUAGUAGCGUUUGAUUUACAGGUACAGCUGUCGCUUCGUAUACAGAGAAAAUUUCUUUGUAUACGGCGGAUUUGUCGGCGUGCCCGGGGAACUAGACAUCCGGGGCGUGACAACAUCCCUUCAUCUAGAGCUGAAAUCUAAUAGCUAGUGGUUGGUACUAUUAUUAAUAUAGUAACCUAAUUCUAUAUAAAUAUUGGCUAGGGUUACUAUACUCUUAUGUGUAUAGACCCCUUUAUACUUAUAAUUUUUUGGUCGUUGGAUGUGCAAUUAGGAUGAUAGUGGUACCCUAGGAUUGAGUGGGUGGCUGGUUGAAUAGUAUGAUUUACGGAUGGAAAUAGUUAAAAGUAUAGAUCUAACGAUGAAAAACUUAUGAGUAUAAAGAAAUCUAUACUAAUAAGAGUAUAGUAGCCGAACUCUCCCUAUAUAUAAUUAUAUAUAAUAUAUAUUUUAAUUAUAAAAAAUAAUAUAUAUUAUGUAUUUUAAUUAUUUGUAUAUAUAAUUUAGAUUAUUGGGCCCACAAAACCAAACCAGCAAAAUCUUACUCUAAUUGCUCUCUCUCUCUCUCUCUCUCUCUCUCUCUCUCUUUUUCAGAAUCACUUUUCUUAAUUUUUUUAAUAUUACAAUAUCGUAUUUCAUGCAUUCAUUUUGUAUGUUGAGCUAUUAGACAUUUUUUGUAUCGAAUUUUAGAUAUGUUUUAAAUUGCACGAUGUUAAAGAAUUUCAAGCAGCUUGUUUAGGGCUCGAGCUCGCUUGACUUGAAAUUAGGCUUGCUCGAGCUCGGCUUGAAUUAAUUUCAAACCGAGCUUGAGCCUAAAUUUAGGCUCGAAAUUAAUUUCAAGCCAAACUUGAGAUAAGGUAAGCUCACUUGAGCUCGACUCGUUUCCACCCCUAAGCAUACUCUUCCUCCAAUCCUUAAUUAAAUAGAAAAUCCUCUAAAAGUAUUAGUAUUAUAAAUACCCCUAUGAUUUAAAGAAAUAAUAAAAAAAUAUCUAUAUUGAUAACAUUCCAUCUAAAAACUAAAUAAAAUUUUUAUUUUGUCCAUCAUAUAUUAUCUCUACCUUUUAAAUUAACUUAAAAGAUUAUUUGCUUGAAAAUUAUAAAUACAAUUAAUUGAAUGUAAUUUAAAUUGAAACUAAUUAAUUAGAGAAAACUAAAAUGCACAGAUAGUAUAAAAAAAUCAUACUUAAUUAGAAAAAAGUAAAAGAAUAGAUUCACAAAAAAAUAUAAUAUAUCUUAGUUUUAAUUAAUUGUUAAUUAAUAUUAACAUUAGACCCAUAUGCUAUUAAAUUUUAAAAAGUGGAUAAAAAAGACAUUCAUAAACUAUAUCACAAACCAACGUUGAGUUAUUUUUACCGACUGUCCCUAGAGCAAGUGGUAAAAGGCUUGAUGGUUGGUACCCGAGACCCAAGUUCGAAUCCUAGUUAAUUCACAUUUUCAGUUAAAUUUAUUUCUAAAUGAAAUAAAUGAAGCGGGUAGCGUGCUACCUAUCUCUCAAAAAAAAAAAAAAAAACGUUGAGCCAUUUUUUGGAUAAGAAAUAAAUUUAUGGAAUGAUUUAAACGUAUCAUUCCUCCAACCCCUUAAUUACAUAAAAAACCCCCCAAAGUGUCAAAAUAAAAGAUAUCUCUCUAAUUAGAGAAACCGUCUUAAAUACCCCUAUUGAUAGUGAAUUAGUGAUCCAUCUAGGAUGUGGUAUCCUGAUGUUCAGCAGGAGAGGCUUAUCGACAGCUUUGGAGAGUGUCGGGACAAGUCUGAGUCGCGUUGGCGCGAAAUAGAUACAAAACGAACUCAGCCGGGACGCAAGAGCAGGACUUGGCAUUGGAAUCUGUAAACAGCAGAUUUUCUGCUUGUUGUACCGGUACAACCAUCAAGGAGUACUGGUACACUUUCUGUACCGGUACAACAUCAGGGGUGUACCGGUACACUUUGACAGAUUUUGCGCAGCUACUCUCGGGUUGCCAUUUGUACCGGUACAUUUGCCCGUGUACCGGUACACCUAAGUAGGUAAGGGGCUUUUUGGUAAUUUCGUGCCUUGUACGUGUCACCACUCCACCACUUCGCUAUUUACAUGUGUAGAGAGGUUGAGAGAGAGUAUUCUACCUGCUUCUUCUCCCCUUUCUCUCUAGCAUCGGCCGAGCAAGGAAGAGCUCGGGUGGAGUUCGAGUUUUGCCGAUGUCGCGCCGUGGUGCCGUUUGAGUGUGUCUUCGUCGUCGUAGCAUCGCGAGGAGGCCGGGCAAGGGUACAAUUCCGCCGUUCUCGACGUCGCGUCGAAUUGGGUUUAGCUAUCGAGGUUGGUUAAUCAUCGGUUUGUCUUCUAAGUGUAUAGUGUUAGUUUUAAUUAUUUAAAACUAUGAUUUAAAACUUGAUUUUAAUAUUAUUAUUAUUAUUAUUAUUAUUAUUAUUUUAUAUAUAUAUAUAUAUAUAUAUAUAUUAAUUAACCCUACAAAUCUAAUCUGGAUUGUAUCCAGAUUUGGUCCAAGAGAGAUCUUGAUCAGAUCUCUCUUGAUUUGAUACAUGCCUCGGGAAGGGACUGGGCUAUCCUAGUCAACCCUUGGGAAAUGGCAAGAUCCUAGUCAAGGAUCUUGCCUUGACUCUCCCGUUGGAAGCUCUCCUAUAUAAGGAGAGGUGGUGCAUUUACUUAGAUACAUAAGAAGAAUAUAACUUCUUCUUAAACCGAGAUUCUUCAUUCUUUCUAAUCCUCUUUAAACCUCUUCUAUAUUUAGUACACUAAACUUUACUAUUUUUGCUGGAUCUCUGAAAGCUAAUUGGGUUCGUGUUGCGCCACCCUGAAGACGUGCCGACGGGGCGGACAGUGGUCGUUGUAUCGCUAGGAGUGAUUGCCGGAGCCUCGCACGUGGAGGGGCAAUCUUGCUUCUAGGACAGUGCAUUCGCACGCCUCGACUCACAGGCUUCAUCUGAUCUCUUGAUCUCUAUUGCAUUAAUUAUUUAAUUUUUAUUAAGAUUUUUAAAAGCAGAAGUAGAAUAGUUUUCAUUUAAAAUUGAUUAUAAAAAUAUUUUACUAAAGAUUUUAGAAAGAGAAUAUUUAUUCCAACAUAUAGUUGCUCGACAUGUGUUGUUGUGUUGAUAGAUUUUGCUCAGUUCAUGAAUUUUAGCAUAUUCCAUGUAAAAAUCUUAAUUGGAGCUUCCUCGUUGCAUGUAUCUACUAGCACAUGUUCGACUGGAAUUUGACUUAGGAGAAAACAACGAUUAUGACUUGUCAUAUGCUUAAACUACUUGAUUUAGCUCUAGGAGCCGUUGUUAUUUUGUAUCGAUGCAGUAUCAGUGUGGUGGAUAUCGCAGGUAGUUUAGAUUUCACUUACGCUCGUGCUGGGAUGCCGAGUGUAUUUUUACAGUAGUGUUCAGACUGUUCCGGAGUGUUGGGGGCCGUCGGGGUUGACGGUGGACCUCUAUCGCCAUUUUGGCGUCAGAUUGUGCCGAGAGCACGCGACCUAUUGGUUGUUAGACCAGUUGGACCCUGUUUCUUGACUUUGGCUUGUGAGAGCCUGAUUGAGCUCGACAGAGAUACGCUGCAUACUCGGUUGGGUAGCUCCCACGAGUGCCACUCCGGAGACGGGCGUUGUGCUUUCGCAUUGGUGUCGUUUGUGCAGGUUGGACUUGCUCUCCACGGACCGCUUAGUGUGGAAAUAGCUGUCUAGUCGCAAUCGGGCGGGAUGGGUGUGUUCACAGUCUCAGGAACGGGUAUGCUUACAGUCCCAGUUCGAUUAGGUCAGAAUUGACAUUUCCUACAGUUGGUUAGUAUAGAGCAUGAUAGUGUAGUGACUUGUAGCUGUAGAUUUCCUUUCAGCUUUCUUCUACUAUUUUUGCUCCCUUCUGUAGAUUUGGUGGGUGGACCGACGAUGUGGAGGGCAGCACCCACCCUAUUUUUGUAGAGCCUGCUGUUCCGGCUGCUGCUUCCUCGGAGACUGAUCGUGGCAAGGGCGUUGCCAGUUAGAGCCCUUGUGACGACCCCGACUUCCCAGUGGGUUACCCAUUCUAGGACUACUCCCGUCCUAGCACGCUUAGCUCUCUUAACCUCUUGGGUCUAGCUACCACCCAAAAUGCUUAAGCCGGGUUAAGAGUUUAGCCCUAUUAUAUCUCAUAUAUAGGACUAUCUGGGGUCUCACAAUCUCCCCUCUUUUAAGCCCUGACGUCCUCGUCAGGCUCAGACUCACAAGUACUAGGCGAUGUGAGACUCAUCUCGCUAGCCCGUCAUCCAGACCCUGGCUCAGUCGAGGCUCAUCUCACACUUCCGGCUGGUAAUUGGCUCUGAUACCAUCUGUGACGACCCCGACUUCCCAGGAGGUCACCCAUCCUAGGACUACUCUCGUCCUAGCACGCUUAACUCUCUUAACCUCUUGGGUCUAGCUACCACCCAAAAUGCUUAAGCCGGGUUAAGAGUUUAGCCCUAUUAUAUCUCAUAUAUAGGACUAUCUAGGGUCUCACAGCCCUUCCCAGUUGCUGCUGCUCGAGAGGUUACCAGCUACAGGUAGUGCUAGUUUUUUGAGUUUCUUAUACAUAUUUGUUGUAUCUCGCUGGGCGAGCAUUUUUGUAUAUCUGGAUGUAUGUAUGUAUGUGGAACUUGUCCCUAUUUAUACCAGUUUUAUUUGGGCAGCUCUAUACUACUGGUUGUAGUAUUGUAUUUGUUACAGGUACAACUACGCUUCGUAUACAGGAAAAAUUUAUUUGUGUACGACGGAUUUGUCGGCGUAUCUGAAAAACGUGUAAUCCGGGGUGUGACAGAUUAAAUUAAAUAAAAUUUUUAUUUUGCCCUUCAUCUAUUUUCUAUGUCUUUUUAAUUAACUUGAAUAUCUUUUCUGAAAAUUGCAAAUACUGUUAAAUUUAUAUUAAAUUGAAACUAGUUAAUUCGAACAACGAAAACUACACAAAUAGUCAGCAAAAAAAAAUCAUUAAUUUAGACGAAGUAGAAAAUUGAUCAACAAAAAAUAUGGUAUAUCUUUGGUUUUAAUUAAUUAUUAAUUAAGAUCAAUAGAGACAAAUAUGAUUUUCAAUUGAAAAAAUAUAAAUUUAACUAGUCAAACAACAUAAUCAUAGACUAAAUCAUAAAGAAAAACUGAGUUAUUUUUGAAUGAGAUACAUAAUAUCAUACAAUUAUUUAUAAUUUGGUAUAACCAGAGACAAAUUAGUCUAAAACUCUUUGUCAACAUGAUGGACGGCAUUUGGACAUAAUUCGUUAAUUUAUAAUGGUAAAUGAUAUUGACAAUUUUGAAGGAGUAUUCAUAAUUUUUUAGAACUUUCGAGGGGCAAGUUUAAAAUUGCUCCUUAAUUUAUUAGCUCUACAUAAUAUCACGCAAUUAUUUAUAAUUAGUUACAAAUAGGGAUAAAUUAGUCCAAAAUUCUUAGUCAGCCUUACAUAAGUGUGUUUUUGACAUAAUUUAUUAAUUUAUAGCGAAAAAAUGAAGGGAUAUCCGCAACAUCUUAUCACUUUUGAGGGGCCACUUUUGAAAUUGCCACUUAAUUUAUUAGCCCCGUAUAAUGCCAGAAAUUAUUUAUAAAUAGGUAUAAAUAGAACAAAUAAGUUCAAAACUUUAAUUAGUCAAUGCAAUAAAAGGAACUCUUAAGAUAAUUUAUUAAUUUGUAGUAGCGCACAUGAUAUAUUAACAAUUUUGAAAAGAUGCCUAUAAUAUUUUAUAACUUUUAAGCAUUUAUUAAAAUUUGUGCUCAUUAAGUUAUAGAAUUUUUAGCCAACCUUCCGAGACACAAGCUGUUUAAUUACGAUCUAAGGGACUGUUUGGUUACAUAUAGUUGUUACUGCAUUGCAGUAGUAACUACAUACAAAUACAAAUUUGGUGUUUGGUUUGAUAUAUUUAAUUUCAACUGCUGCAGUAGGAAUUGUACGAGGAGGCCCAACUAUAGCAGUUGGAGAGAGUAACUUUAAAUAAAAGAUAAGUUGACCUCUCUAAUUAUUUUCUAAAUAAAAAAAAAUAUAUUUUUUUACAUUAUUGGAGAUAUUCUCAUCAUCAUAUAUAUAAAAUGAUAAAAUUUUAAAAAUCAUUUCUCAGCUGCAUACAACCAAACAAAUUAUUUAUAAGUACAGUACUUUCUACUAUAUCCAACCAAAUAGGAUGGAUGUGGUUGCAAUAACUAUAGUUUCAACUGUAUGCAUCUUCAAUUACACUGUAUUUAUAAUUAUAUUUAACUAAACGGAUUCUAAAAAUUGUUGCACCUACUGUGCAUGGUACUAAAUAAAUGUACCUCAAGUUCAUAGCAUAUAAUAUGUAUCUAUCGCAAUUGGCUAAGAAUUUAAUAGUUGAUGACUUAGAUUCUAUGCUUGAAACUUAGUUAUUUUAUAUUUCUAGCUAAAUUUAUUGUUUUAAAAAAGAACAAAUCAGAUAACUUGCUACUGUUUCAAAAAAAAGGGACAAAAAUUCAAAGCUUAUGUAAAUGCUCUUUAAAGUAAUCUUUUAGUUUCAAAGUUUGUUAAACAAUUGUCCUUCAAGCACAUGACAUGGCACGAGUACUUCUUUGAGAGGCUCUCAUUCCACCACUAAAUUAAAUAGGGCGUUUGGCUUAAUUUUUAAAAAGUGAUUUUGGACUAAAAAUAAUUUUUGGCACUAUAGAGUGUUUGACAAUCCCGUUCUUAAAUUUUGACUUUAAUUUUUAGAAUCAAUUUUUUAAUUUUUAAGGUCCAAAUUCAGACGCAGCUAAAACUUAAUUACUUCUUAAAAUCUAAUUUCGAUUUUGAACUCAAACUUCAAAUUUUUAUUUUAAUUUUCGAUUCAAAGUAAAAAUUUAAAUUUAAUUAUAAAUUUUAAUUUUAAAAUUUAUUUUGAAUUUUUAUAUCUCACCUUUUCAAAUUUAAAACUUAAAAUUUAGAAAUUACAUUUCAUAUUUUAAAUUUUAAAAUUUAAAUUUAAAUUUUAAAUCUCAAAUUUAAAAUAUUAAAUAUCAAAAUUUUAUAGUUGAAAAUUGAAAUUUAAGAUAAAACAAAAUUUACAUUUUGAAAUUUUAGAAUUUAAAAUUUAAUUAAAAAUUUUGAAAUUAUAUAUUUUAGUUUGUAAAAUUACAAAUUUCAAAAUUUUAAAAUUUAAAAUUUAUUCUAUUUUUUAAAAUUAAAAUUUUAUUUUUAUAUUUUAAAUAUUCAAAUAGAUAUGAAAAUUUUAAAUUUUAUAUUUCAAAUUUGAAUUUUAAAGUUUAAAAUUUAAAAAUAUAAAAUUUAAAAUAAAUUUUAAAAUUUAAAUUUUAAAUUUCAAAUAUCAAAUUUUAAAUUUGAAAUUGGACGCUUAUAUUUAGCUUUAUAAAUUUAUUUUUUUAAUUUUAAAUUUUCAAAUUUCAAUUUUUGAAAUUAAAUAAUCAAAAUUUAAAUUUUGUAAAAACUUUAAAAUUUAGUUAAAAAUUUAAAAUUUUAAUUAUAUGUUUAGUUUUACAAAUUACAAAUUUCAAAAUUUAAAAUUUAAAAUUUUAAUUUUUAAAUUUAAUUUAAUUUUUUAAUUUUUAAUUUUUAAAUUUAAGUUUUGUUUUUAAAUUUAAUAUAUUCAAAUUUGAUGUUUGAAAAUUUUAAAUUUUAAAUUCAGAUUUUAAAUUUGAAAUUGAACAUUUAUAUUUAGCUUUAAAAAUUCAAAAUUUAAAUUUUAACUUUUGGACAAAUUUUAAAUUAUUUUAAAAUAAAAUUUACUCAAAAUAUUACUAUAUGCAAAUAUCAAAUUUAUUUUUGCCAAAUAGAUUUUCAAAAUUAUUUCAAAAAAAUCUCUUUCAUUUAAACUCAGCCAAAUGUUAUGCCGCUUUUAGCCAAAAAUUAUUUUUCAAAACCAAAAUUAAUGCUGCAGAAAUUACUUUUUCAGAAUCUAGACCAAAUAGUCAAAAGGCUUGUUUGAUAUUGAGAUUUAUCUAACCCCAAUAGGCAAAAAUGAAAUAAAGUGAAAGUAUAUAAAAAUUUAUUUUUCUUUUUUUUUAAUUGGAUGGCACGAAAUAUACUAUAAUCGUAUAAUUACGAUAUAUAAAACGCGAUAUUAUGUGCCAAUCUAUAAUGGCUAAUGGUGCCUAGCGAAGUCCCAAUCAGUGUGCACGAUUAGUUUGUUCGUUGUGAAUAGGGCUGGCAAAUGAGCGAGCCAGCUCGUGUUCGACUCGUGUUCGACUCGUGUUCGGCUCGAUAUUCGGCUCGCUCGAGCUCGGCUCGAAUUAAUUUCAAGCAAACUUGAGCCUAAAUUUAGGCUCGAAAUUAAUUUCAAGCCAAGCUUGAGUAUUACUCGGUUCGCUCGAAUUAAGCUCGAAAAGCUCGAAAUAUAUAUAUAGUAUAGUAACCUAACUCUAUAUAUAUAUAUAUAUGCCACCCAUUUGUUUUCGAUGAUGGAGCCUCCAAAUCGAUGAUCGGCACCGUUGAAAAUGAUCUAUACCACUUGAAGUAUCUAGAAGCUAAAUUUCAAAUCAUUUUGACAUCAUUGACCUAAUGAUCAAAGGAUUUUAAAAUUUGUAAUUUUAUAGUCGAUAUGAGACGUUUUCUCGUUUAACGGUGUAACGAUAUCCAAAUCAAUUGAAUUUUGGUUAGAAAAUUUUUUAAACUAUUUAGAACAAAAUCUAUACUCUUGAUCUUAAUUACGAGGCUCCUAUCAUCACUUUUUAAAGAAUAUUUAUUUUCAGUCGUUCAAUUUUGUGUCCACUUGAUGAACAAGAAAAUAAUAUUGAAAAAGCAUGAAAUUUUGUUUCUAGAUAUUUCAAGUGGUAUAGAUCAUGUUCAAUGGCCGGUGUCGAUCGUCGAUUUAGAAGCUCUAUCAUCGAAAACAAAUGGAUGGCAACAGAGCCUGUUUGCUACCGAUAGCAUUCCAGCCCAACUCUCUCUCUCUCUCUCUCUCUCUCUCUCUCUCUCUAUAUAUAUAUAUAGUCUACUAUACUAUUAAUAGUACCAACCACUUGUUAUUAAUUAGGUUAUCGGCCUUUGGAUGAAGGGAUGUGCGGUUAGAAUCAUAGUGAUCCCUUAGGGUUGAGUGGGUGGUUAGUUGAAUAAUAUGAUUUAACGGGUGAAAAUGGUCAAAAAGGUAGAUCUAACAACACACAAUUCGAUAGCACCAAACAUUUGGUACUACUGAUAAUAUAGUAGCUGGACUCUAUCUCUCUCUCUCUCUCUCUCUAUAUAUAUAUAUAGUCCGGCUACUAUAUUAUCUAUACUAUUGAUAGUACUAAGCGCUUUGUACUAUUAAGUUUUAUGCCGUUAGAUCUGCCUAUAUAUAUACAGAGUCUGGCUAUUAUACUAUCGAUAGUACCAAGCAUUUGGUGCCAUCGAGUUUUCUGCUGUUAGAUAUAUACCUUUGGCCAUUUUUAUUUGUUAGAUCAUACUAUUCAACUAGCCACCCACUCAACCCUAGGGGGCUACUAUCGUCCUUACCGCACAUCUCUUCAUCCAAAGGCCGAAAAUCUAAUAGCAAACGAUUUGUAUUAUUAAUAGUAUAAUUGCCUAAUUCUAUAUAUAUAGGCUCGGGUUACUAUACUUUUAUAAGUAUAGACUUUUUUAUACUUAUAAAUUUUCAACCGUUGGAUGUGCGAUUAGAAUGAUAGUGGCCCCCUAAGAUUGAGUGGGUGGUUCGUUGAAUAGUAUGAUUUAGCGGAUGAAAAUAGUCAAAAUGAUAUAAAUCUAACGGUCGAAAGCUUAUGAGUAUAAAGGGGUUUAUAUUCAUAAAAGUAUAUAUAGUAUUCGAACUCUCUCUCUCUCUCUCUCUCUCUCUCUCUCUAUAUAUAUAUAUAUAUAUAUAUAUAUAUAAUAUAUAUUUUAAUUAUAUAAAAUAAUAUAUAUUAUGUAUUUUAAUUAUGUGUAUAUAGAAUUUAGAUUAUUGGGCCCACAAAACCAAACCAGCAAAAUCCUACUCUAAUUGUUCUCUUUCUCUCUUUUUCACUUAUUAGCAGAGUCGCUUUUCCUAAUUUUUUUAAUAUUAUAAUAUCGUAUUUCAUGCAUUCAUUUUGUAUGUUAAACUAGUUAUUUUUUAUAUCAAAUUUUAGAUAACGCUUUAUAAAAAUUAAACUAUAGAUUGCACGAUGUUAAGAAUUUCAAGCAGCUCAUUUAGGGCUCUAGCUCGUUCGACUCGAAGUUAGGCUCGCUCGAGCUAGGCUCGAAUUAAUUUCAAGCCAAGCUUGAGCCUAAAUUUAGGCUCGAAAUUAAUUUCAAGCCAAGGUUGAGCGGAGGUAAGCUCGCUCGAGCUUGGCUUGUUUCCGGCCCUAGUUGUGAAACACACUUACUUGUCUAUAGCUAGCUAGUUCAUUUCUAAAUAUUAGAUUUUCAAAAUAAAUUAUAAUUAUUUUAUUGGGUAUAUAUAAUUCUUUUUCCAACAAAAAAGAGACUGAUUCUAGAAUAUGAAAGUAUUUGGGCAAUUUAUAUAAAAAAUCUAUAAUCGAAUCAUUAGAAUACACAAAAGGUGAUAUUAUGUGCCAAUCUAUAAUGGCUAAUGGAGCCUAGCUAGCGAAGUCCCAAUCAGUGUGCAUGAUGAUUAGUUUGUUCCUUGUGAAACAUGGAUUUUCUGACUUUCUUCCACUCGAAAGGAUUUCUUUUCCUAGGAAGAGGGCGCUUGUUGUUUCGUCUGGUUCAAUAAUAGCGCCUAUCCUAGUGAGUUUUAGGGACCCACCGGGCCAGAAUCUUCUCAAGCUCUGACUUUGAUAAAUUUUCUCCAACACCUGAUACGGCGACAACAUCCGAGGAGGUACUUGUGUGACCCAUGAAAAAUCAUUUCUAAAUAUUAGAUUUUAAAAAAUAAAUUAUAAUUAUUUUAUUGGCGUGUGUGUGUGAGCAGGGCUACUAUGUUAUUAGGAGUACAACAGCUCUUAUACUCCUAACUUUCUAAUCACCCAUCAAAUUUGAUGGAUGGUUAGAAUGAGAGAGAAAGGGAUAUUAAAGAGAAAUUCAAGAAGAAGAGAAAUUGAAACACCCAAUUUCUCCCCAAUAUCUCAUAUCUCUCUCAUUCUAACCUAUAUAUAUAUAUAAUUCUUUUUCCAACAAAAAAAAAGGUGAUUAUAGAAUAUGAAAGUAUUCGGCCAAUCUGCAUAAAAAAUUUAUAAGUUAUGAGCUUUUCUAAAAUUGGAUUGGUUUCUUAAAUUUUACAGACUCGAUCUGAAUUUUCAGCAAACUGACCAAAAUACCCUUAUUUUUUUCUCUCUCUCUCUUUUUUUUCACUCAUUAUUUUUUUUCUAUCCGAAGAAGCAGCGGAGGCGGAGGCGGAGGCGGCCCGCCUCGUCUCUGCCCCGCGCACUUCGCCCUCGAGCACGACCGCGCCCACACCCCCCGCCCUACCUUUUUUUNCUGACUAAAAUACCAUGAUUCUCUUUUCUCUCUUAUUUUUGUUUCUUUCGUUCUUUUUUUUUUUUAAACCCUCCUCCACCACCUCCGCGGCCCUCCUCAAUAGUAACGAGGACGGCAACGCGUUCUCUUCCUCCACCUUCGCCCUCCAUCUCUACUCCAGUAAAUUAUGCACUCACCAGCCUACUUUUGGGAACCCGUGUCCCCACCAUCGCCGCCGAUGAUAAAGAGGAAGCACUUCUUGGCACCAAAAAGCUUGCCAACGAGGGAGGCAGCACGCGGUCCACCCGCCUACCCCAGAGGGCGGCGGUGAGCGCGGCUUCGGCGGUGUUGGAGGCGAAGAGGGUGAGAGGUGUACAGGAGCAUCUCUGGAUUAGCAUUUUUGUUUGUUUAAAAUAGAAAAAAAUUAACUAAAAGCCAACUAGAGAAUAAUGAAGAAAAUCAGAGAAGAAGGAAGAAGAAGAUGAAGUUACACUGUUAAAAAUAAAUUGUACUGUUUUAAAAGAAUGUUGCACUAUUAUGGACGUAAGUUGUACUCUUUGAAAUAUAAACUGCACUCUUUAAAAUGAGAGUUACACUCUUUAAAAAAAGUUACACUCUUUGAAAGAUAUUUACACUAUUUUUUUUUGUUGCACUCUUUAAGAUGUAAACUGUAUCCUUUAAGAGCAGAAAUAGUGUAAAUAUCUCUCAAAGAGUAUAAUUUUUAUUUAAAGAGUACAAUUUUUAUCUUAAAAAAUACAGUUUAUAUAUGAAAGAGUGCAAUAAGAAAAAAAAAUUGUAGUAUCCCUGGUGAUUGGUUGUCCGCGAGAUUUCAGUAUUUGAGACUUGUCGACACAUCUGGAGAGUGUCAGGACAAGUCGGAGUCAUUUUGGCGCAAAACGGAUGCAAAACGGACUUGACGCGAGGCGAGAGUGGAGUUCUGACGCUGAAAUCCGUAAAUUGUAGGAUUUCAGUGUUCAGUACCGGUACCACGCAGGGGAGUAUCGGUACCCCAGUGUGAUUCCAAAAUAGCAUGCUCUCGGGUUGCGCCAAUUUGAUGCUGAGUACCUGUACGGUAUCCGGCUGGUACCGGUACUCUGUGUGUGAGCUUGCGGGCUGAGAGGCCGAGUACCGAUAACCAAAUCUGGUACUGUACUCUAGCUGAAUUUUUGAUUUGGUGAAGGGCAUUUUGGUCCUUUGAUGUGUCGAUCAACCCAAUGUUUAUCCCCAGCCUAUUUAUUGACAGAGAGAGCUUGUAACCAGUUCUUCUUCUUCUUUCCCUCUCUCUCUCUAGCUGGUGGAUUUGUACGUGGUUGAGAUCGCGGCUCGAGUGCAAGAGGUUGUCGACGUCGAUUCGGAGGGUUGUUCGAGCGUGCGUGCGUCGAGGUUGCAUCGUUAGAGGCCGGGCGAGCGCGUGAUUUCAUCUCCUUUAGACUUCUCGCCGUGGUUGGACAAGCUUUUCGAGGUGGUUUGAAGUUUACCGAAAUCGUUGGAAUAUCUACUAAGUUUUAGUAUGGUCGACAUGUUUUAUUGGUUUAUUUCGUUACUAGUACUCGAAUUCAUGGAAUAGUGAUAAAAUCUGAAUUUGGAGUUAAACUAGUAGUAUAAUUUUACAUGUUGGACUUGAAAUUGAUUUAUGAGAAAAUAUAUAAAUUCUAUACUGUCACUUUCUAAAAAUUACCAGAUUUAACUUUAAAAACUGUGAUUGUUUUGAACUUGAAAUUGAUAUAGGAGAGAAUAUAUAGAUUCUAUACUGUCACUUUCUGAAAAUUAUCAGAUUUAGUUUUACGAGCUGUGAUUGUUUUGUAUCGUCGCUGUUAGUAUGCGAUGGAUAUCCAGAUAGAAUCCUAAACCCUAAACUAUUUUACGGUGAAUCAAACCAUCCGUCAACUCAAUCCGUCAAUUGUCCCAUCUCCCCACAACCCUGGAGAUCGAAUGAUUUGUACGUAAUUGGAAUCUCCGAACAUUUUUAAUUUUUGCGCACAAAUAGUGUGGUUGAUGUGCCCCAGGCGAAGAAACAAAGCCGUACGUUGUGGACACGGUGGAGGGCGAGGCGCCACACAACUUAAUUAGCUCGAUUCGUAAGAUCGAUCCAUCCGUCUCCCAACCAUCCUUCAAACACUCGUUAUCAUCUCAAACACAAAAGAAAAAAAAUCUCAGCUAGAGAAUUAUGUGGAGAGCAUUACUUUACGUCUCCACUAGAGACCAGUGGGCCACGUUGGUUGGUUAAUUAGUUAAGUUACGAAAAUGCUUUGGACCUUUUAUAUUAUUAUUAUUAUUAUUUUUUUUUUUUCUCAUCUUUCUUCUCUGUAAACUUCAAUCAAAUUCACCAUUAUUGCAAGUUUUUCUUUCGCUUCUUAAUUUUCUCUUAAAACUUUUCUUUUGAGCAGAAUAAGAAAACAUUAUAGAAAAAAUUGAUGAAAAAAGCGACAUGCGCUCGACAUUGGUGAAACAACACGUGUCUUAGAUAAAUGGAGAUGGUGAAAUUUUAAUUACGGAUUGAAAACUAGGAUGAAGGAGAGAGAGAAAAGAAGAAGAAAAGUUCUCAUUGCUAGGAUUUUGAAUGAGAUAAUAACGUAUAAUAUAAGGGGGUAAAAAUAUCAAUUUAUCUUUCAUUCACUAAUCAAACUUAAGUAUUUUCUAUACAGUUAAUUAAAUUUUUUUAACGGAUCAUAACGGCAGGGACAUAUUUGAAAACAGUAAAAUUUUUGCCAAGAUAACAUAAAAAAGUUGAACUUUAUAGAAAUAUGUUUAAAAUUUGCUAUGCUUACAUAGAGCUGUUGGCAAUUAAUCUUAUUAUUUUUGUAUGUUACUAAUACGUCAGCAUCUAAAGAGAAAAGUAUUAAACGCUCCUUUUGAGUUGUACCGUUGGUUGUUUGAUUUUUGUGCUUUAUGUAUGCUUCAGUCCAUUUUACAUUGAGAAGGAAGUGCUUUUGAUGCAAUUUUUGUUUUUUUUUCCCUUCCUUUGCUAUCUCCAUCUGCUUUUGUCUUUCCAUAACACUAGGUAGGAUGCUCCCUAGGAAUGUCACUACAACAUAAUUAGGCUAUAGGGGCACAUGUUUGGGACACUUUUGAGUAAGUGUCCUAUUUAUGCUAAAACUUAAAAAAAUAUCUGCUAAUGCCUAAAUAUAAAGCCCAAUCCAACAAAAAAUAAAAGAUUACUUUACUCAACCCACCACACCCAAUCCAUUUGGCCCGAUUACAAACAAAAAAGAAAAAAAAAAGAAAAAUCAAUUGCCAUCUUUUCUUCUCUCUUCACUCAAUCCGCUGAAAUUCUAGACGAAGAGCCUUUCCUGUCGUCCUCCUCCACCACCGCAGCCAACGAGAUAGAGUUUCGGCGGUUGCUAAAUACUUAAAUAAGUGUUUGUAAAUUAGCAGCACUCUUUUAGGUUAUAGCGACACUCUUUAACUGUCACUAUAUACCUAGCGACCCCACAUAUAGCAACACUUUUUAAAAGUGUCGGUAAUUUUAGCUAGCAGCACUUUUUUGACAUGUACCUACAUUUAAAAGUGUCGCUAUAAACCGUUUUUGUUGUAGUGUGUCAACUUGUCGGGUUAGGAGCCGGUCUUUUAAAAUUCAAAUCCAAACCAAAAAUCAGAAUUCAAAUUCGAAUUCAAAUGGCUUUUGAAACUUUAUAUUCAAACUUAAACCCGACCAAAAUCUUGACAUCAAAUUCGAAAUCAAAUCUAAAUCUAAAAUAAUUAUUUCUCUUUAUUACAUUUCAAAAUAUAUUAUAUUAAAAUCUAAAAUUUUAAAAUAUAAGUCCAAAUGUAAUAUCAAACGUUCACAUAUAUUAUAUAAUGUAAAACCAAUUUGGGCGACAAAAUCCAUAACCAAAUACAAAUCCAGAGGAAUUUUAUUUUUUAUACUCAUAUCCAAAAUUAUAUCCGUUUUGCAUUGAAUAAAUCCAUCCCGUUCAGAUUUAGAUUUGAAUAAAAUUUUGAAUAUUCAUACUCAUUGACAUCCCUAAUGCUUCCCAUAUACAACUUAAAUUUUGUCCCACCUUUUUCAUACUCUAAUUAUGUAAUGUGGAACGUCACCUGACACAUUAUUUGAACUAUGAACUAUUUUAAAUUAGCUAUCCAAUUUAUUAAAAUUUCAAUUUUACCAUCCAGUCCUUCUAUUUGAUUGAUUUACAGUGUAGAUAUGUUCUGUAUGCUUUUACCUAAUAGUACAAAGGAUAAAUUACAUUUUUGGUUUGCAAGUUAUGAGGAGCAUGACACUUCGGUCGUCAAACUUUAAUUUACUAAAAUUUCUGGUUUAAUGGCUUUUGUUUUAUUAGCUAGGGAAAAAGUCAAAAACUUUUGUUGUUGUGAAAAAGGUUUUACUUUCUACUUUUGAGAGAAAAAGAUAACAUACUAUUUAUUUUAUUAUUUUUUUAAAAAAUAAACUUAUUAUUUUUUUUUUUUUUGAGAGAUAGGUAGCACGAUACCCAAUUUGUUUAUUUCAUUUAGAAAUAAAUUUAACUGAAAAUGUGAGUCAACUAGGAUUCGAACUUGGGUCUCGAGUACUAACCACCAAGCUCUUUGCCGCUUGCUCUAGAGACGGUCAGUAAAACAAAAAAAAAAAAAAAAAAAAAAAAAAAAAAGAAAAUNGUUUAAAUUUGUGUAACUUUUGUUAAUGGAGAGCAAUGUGACAUGUCUCUUAUAAUAUAUAAAUGAAAUUUUAUAAUGUCCUUCCCCUUAUUCCUAAUUAUAUAAAAAUUCUCUAAGAAAAGGUUGUCAACAUCAAAAUUGCUCCUUACAUUUAGUAAAAUCAUCACAAUUGGCCAUAGUACUAUUAAAAUAUGGCUCAAAUGCUCACUAUAUCCCUCCUACCCUUUCAAUUAUUGUAAACAUUUAUACAUGUAAUGAUCGAGAUACUAUGCAUUUAUUAUUAGUAUUAAUAUAGUUUAGUUUUAUUUUAAUAUGUCUUCAUAUUAACUCGUUUAGUAUGCCUCUAUUAGUCUAUUUUAUGUUACUUAGUAUAUUUUUAUUUUGUUUGUUUGUUUAAUUACAGAAGGAAGAAUUGCAUACUUCUCGUUAAAUUUUUUUUUUUUCGAUUUUUAUACUCUGAAUAAUUGCCUAGGUACCCCUAAAAAUUUACGAAAUAUCCCAUAUCUCUAUCAAUUUUUUUUUUGUAGAGUGAGGCAUGAUGGGAGGCACAGAUAGAGUGAAGCAAGCGGGAGGGGAAGAGAUCGAGCUUGAUAUUCUUCAAACAUGGUUAUACUUUUUUAUAUAGGUUCAAGGAAGAAGAAGAUGAUUAUUAGGAGGCAAAUAAGAAAACUAGGUAAUUAUUGAAGGACAAAUAAAAAAAAAAGUGAUAGUGGAAUGAAAUAAUCGAACAAGCAAACUAGUCCUUUCGCAGAGAUAACAGCUAUUCUUAAUAGUGUAUUAAUAGAAUGUAAUACUAAGGGUACAUUUGAAAAGCUUGGAAUGUUAGAAACAUCUUUUCAACAUGGACUUCUAUGGAGGGUAAAAUAUAAAAGUUAGAAACUUUAUAAGUAUACAUAGGUAAUCAUCCUUUAUAUUAUUUUAGAUUUAGAUAUAGUUCACCAUGACUUCUGUGAAAGAUAAAUAUAAAAGUCAGAAACUUUACAAGUGUACAUAGGCAAAUAACCCUAUAUAAAAUUUUAGAUGUAGUACGAUAGUUCUUUAUUCUAGUUUCGAUUUAUAUUACUAUGUGUUUAUUUCAUAUUUGUAUAUUCUAGUUUACUGUAUUUACUUUUCAAAUUUUUACAUUAUUUUAGAUAUGGUUUAAUAGUUCUCUAUUUUAACUCUGAUUUAUGUUAUUAUACGUUUAUCAGGCUUGUAUUUCUGUAAUUUACACUAACUACUUUUGUUUAUGCUAUUUUAUCUCUGCAAAAUAAAUUAAAUCAAAUGUUACAAAUUAUAUGCUAGUUAACUAUUGUAAGAAUAAGUUGCCGAAAGAGCAUUUAAGAUAUAAUUUGUCGAUUUAUUCAGGUAACAUUGAUAUAUAUUGAGAACUUCAAAGGAACGUCUAUAAUUUUUUAAAUUUUGAGGAGUACAUUUGAAAUUGCUCCUUUAAUUAAAAAAAAGAAACUUGUAAUCUCUUGAAUAACUCAAUUCAAAAAUCACCUUGGUUUAACGAAAUAAUUAACCUUUACCUCUCAUACCAAUUAUUUGAGAAUUUGCAGAAAAUAAAUACUGAACCUUCAUAACAGAAGGGUUGAGUUAUUCACAUAUACUUAAUACAUUAAUUAAUUGUAGUCAAUUGUGCAUUAAUUCAGCUAAUUCAAGAAUUAGCAUUCUCAUCAACCAAAAGGUCUUCCCAUGUAAAGAAUAAUUUGCCUUCUUCUCCAACUAUCCACUCAUCCAACCUCUCUUCAUUUGGAAUGAUCGGGGGAUUACACCAUUGUUGCAACAACCAGUCAAUACUGCCACUGCACUCUCCUUCAGUCGAAGUUCCCCACAGUUGUACUUGUGCAUUAGCUUUUGGAUCAAUGUGAACCGUUUUCGUCUUCUUUAUUGUCCCUUGAGAUGGGCUUGACACGGUCGAGACGGGCUUGUCGAUCAGGUUUGAGUUGGCUCGGUGCACUUUUUUCUUAAGGAAUGUGUUCCAGUAGUUCUUGAUCUCGUUGUCUGUGCGUCCCGGUAUCCUCCCCGCUAUCAAAGACCACCUUGGAUAUUUUUGUAAACCAGCUCAAAUCAAUUUUGAUAAAAUAUUCGUCUAAACUUGACUAACCUUGGGUAAAUUAACUGCACCAAGCUAUAACAAACAUCUUCUUCUUCUUCUUCUUCUUCUUUUGUAGUUUCAGUUUGAUCCUUAAUCUUUGUGCAAAUUAAACAUCCCUUUUGUUAGUACUUUAGCUUGGUUCUCAAUUAUUCAAAGAAUCAAAAACUGCGUUAACUUUUAAAUCUUAUACUUCACUGCUAUGUAUCUCAAAUAGGUCUAGACAUAAAUCUGGAAUGGUUUUUGAAAUUGAAUAAGUUUUCUAGAAUAAUUAAGUCGAUAUAUUGCUUUUGGUACAUACAGUAUUUCUUCUUUUUUUUCCCUACAUCUAUCUAAGUUGCUAUUUAACUAAAGAUACAUCUAUCUAAGUUGCUAUUUAUCUAAAGAUAUAUAUCAAACCGGAUAAAGAUCUCUUAAAAAAGACAAUUUAUUUAUCUUACAAUUCCACACUCUUGUUAAAUACAACCAAUGACAAUUAACCGCCAACUUAUCUCUGUGAUUUCUGUAGUAUGAGAUAGUAGUUAAUGAAGUAUAGGAUUAGUAACUGAGACAACAAAGGGAUGAUUAAUUGAGAGUUCAUAAAAUAACAAGGACCCAUGCAUGGUGCAAUUAACUUAUAGUUCUGAACUAUAUAUGAGCACGUAAAGAGCUGAUCAUAAUUAAAUAUAUUAACCUGUUUCCCAGAAGCUUGUGGAGUCUGAUAAUGAGAUCCUCCUCAUCUUGGGUGAUGUUCCCGCGCUUAAUGUUGGGCCUGAGAUAGUUCAACCAACGGAGCCUGCAACUCUUCCCACUGCGAUUAAGCCCUAGUUAUAACACCCAGAAAAAAGAAAAAAAGAAAGACAAAAUCAUGUUAAUUUUCACAUAAUACUAAACAAAGGAGGAAAAAUUAAGAAGCAAAAUUUUGCUCAUAGAUCUAGAAGCUGUAAUAAGUUAAGCUUCGUGGCUUUUGCAUGCACCAGCUUUCAUGGGAAGUUUUGCCCAGUUCUCCACACCGUGGGCUUCGACGUAGGACGCUAGAAUACGAUCCUCCUCCUCCGUCCAUUUUCCUCGGCUCAAAACUUGAGAGCAAGGGUGGGUUCUUGGUCUCAUCGUAAUUUUUCUUAGUUUGUUUCUUUCUUUUUUUGGGAAUUAUUGCCGAGUUUUUGUAGCCUCUCCCGCACACCUUUCCUUCUAUAGAAGAAUAAUUUAGUGACACUACUUGGAUUCUCAAAUUAUAAUUCUUUAUAAUUUCUAGGUCCAACUUUGUAAAGUAUUGCAAUUAAGUCCUACAAUCCAAUUUAAUUAGCUGACUAAACUAAGGACGAAACCGGAAUUUAAUUACGAGGCGGGUCAAAAUAUGUACAAAUAAAAAUUUUAGUAGAUAAAUAAAAUUUUAACUAUUCAAAUUUUUAAUAAAAAAAUUUAGUGAUUAGAUAAUUAAUGUUAGAAAAUAUUAAAUUUAUUUUUUUAAUUUACACUCGCUUAAUUUUUAAUUAUUUUAUUUGCAUUAUUCCAUUCAAAUAACUUAAGAAUUUUACUAAAUCUAAUAGUAAUUUAGUUAGAAUUUUUUUUUGUUAAUAAAAUAAUAACAGCCAAUAACUAAUAUCUAAUAGAGCUAUUAAAUUUAGCAUACUAUCUUAUUUAGUUAAAUAAAUUAGCUCUUCAAAAAUAAUUAGAAAGUUAGGAAUGUAUAAAUAAAAUAUUUAAAGUGAAAAGGACUUAUUUCAAAAUGCACUAUAAUUAAGAGGUUCUUAAUAUAUUUUCACCUACAAAACACAUAAGAAGAGAGAGAGAGAGAGAGAAAGAGUUCUAUAUAUAUAUACUAGUACUAAAAACUUUUUACAAGAUAGGCCCAUAUAUUUAAAAAAUUAAUUAAAAAUUUAUAAGUUAUCAAAGCACUAUAAAGUAAAUAUUGAAAAGUUGAGGGGGGCCAUGGCCCCUUUGGAUCUAUAUUUGGCUCUAUAUUUGGCUCUAUCCCUAGACUAAAUAUUGAUGAGUCGCUGAUAUAGAAAUAAUAUUGCAUCUUAAAAUUAUCGUCGCAUCAUCAAUCAUAAUAUUGCUAAAUUACUUUCACAUUAGCAAUACAUCAAUAUUUAGUUGAUUAAGCUGGCUUGCAUGUGAGAGUUGAUUACAACAAUUUAUAAAGCUCAAGUCAAAACUACAACAAAUUAAAAUUUGAGCACCAACUCUGUAUUUUAUGUGAUUAAUUGGAGAAUAGUCGGUUCUCUUGUAAAAGAAGGCAAUACCAGCUGUGUGGUAGGAAUCAUGGACUUCUCUACAUUAAGCAAUGGAGACAAGAGAAUGUUGAUAGAUGAAUAGAUGCUCUUGAAGUCCAAAAGAAAAGAACGAAAGAAGGAAAAUACUAAAUAUGAUUGGUGAUCUAGUUGGUCAAUGCAAUGAAAUCCUUGGAGAAUUAUCAAAUUCUCUAUUAAAUGUUAGCUAAAAAAUGUGGACACAAUGUAGCAUGAGACAAAAAUGAAAGCUAAUCCUAGUAUACAGGUUUUGAGAUAUUAUAUGCUGCAAAAAAAUAUUAAAAAAAUGGCUAAAUUACAUAAAACCCCCCUAUCAAUACUCGUUUUUUCACUUUCCCCUUUUGUCAUUUAAAAACCUACACUUUGCCCCCUUGUAAAAUGAAAAAUGUUCUCAAGGGGGUACGGUGUUAACUACAAUGACAAAAUGACCAAUUUGCCGCUCAGAGGCGGCAAUGUUGAGGAGGAGACUGAGGAUAUUUUUGGUAUAAAAAAAUAUAUUAUAAUAUUUUAUAAACAGAACCCUAACGGAGCACUAACGGUAGGGAGCGAAGUGAACAUUUUUAUUUUAUAAGGAGACAAAGUGUAGGUUUUUUAAUUAUAGGGGAGGAAAAUAAAAAGUGGGUAUUGAUAGGGAAAUUUUCUGUAAUUUAGCCAAAAAAAAAAUAGGAACCUUCCAAGAGUUGUCCUAUUAGAAGAAAGAGGCUAGAUAUAUAGGUAGAUCACAUUUAUGUAGGUGAAGCAUUACUUGAGGUCAACAAACACAAUCAUAGAAUUGUGUGGUUGAUUUCUCAAAGAUUGAGUAGCUACAAUGCAUAUGGAAGGUUCAAUAGCAGUUGCUUUCCUAUGAUGUGGAGUAUCACAUCACAAAACGUUCAAUAGCAGUUGCUUUCCUAUGAGGUGGAGUAUCACAUCACAAACAGUGAUGGCACAUUUGUUGGAAAGGACAUUGCUUGGAAAGUUACUGGAGCGAAAGUUAUAGUUGUUAGGUUAAUUUUUUUGGGGGUACGUAAUAUAAGUUGGCUAAAUUUUAUUCGAUUUUACGAGUCCUGAAUUCGAUUUUUACAUCCGCGAUUUUCUAGUAUCACUAUGCAUGUGAGUGAGCUGGGUGUUAAGAUUACUCUUGAGCUGUCUGACAUGGUUUACUUGAUUUUUAUUAUGCACGUGAGCAUGAGUGUCAGAUAAACAAUAUUAUAAAAUUAAAAAUUUAUUUUUAGAUACUGAAAAUACUCUAAAUCAAGUCCUACAAAGUCGAUUUUUGAUUCGAAUGUCUUAUUAAUUAUUGAAAAUAAUUUGUGAGCAUAGAGGAUUCCGCGGAUGCUUCUAUAUAAAAGCACCCAGCUAGACUCUAUCACAUUGUUGGGAUUGCGUACAACAGGGAAAUAAGGCUUUAUCCCCUUUCUGAUACCUAAACACAAAUCUAUUUGGGUGUGAACUGUAGCGCGUUAUCCCAGGAUAACCCACUAUGGGUGGGAAACCCGCUAUGGGUGGGAAACCCGCUAUGGGUGGGAACUGUAGUUCCUACCCUUAUCCCCCCGUUGCUCGAGGGUAUCUCCUAGAAAAAUCUGCUUCGUGCCUCCUCAUUUCUUCCUCCUCGUACUUAGUUGAUCUGAGGUUGCUUCUUCGUGGCAAACCCUAGAUUUGAGGAUCUCACACCGCCGCCUCGUGCUAAACCUUAGAUCUGAGGAGAAAUUGCCGCCGCCUCGUCUUCUUCUCUAUGCCUUCUCCCUUCUUUCUCCUUGUAGCUUGGUCUUACACUAGAUCUGAGGUUGCUCUUUUGUGCCAAACCCUAGAUCUGAGGUUAUCACAUUGCUGCCUUGCGUCGAACCCUAGAUCUGAGGACAAAAUCGUCGUUGCCUCACGUUCUUCUCCAUGCCGCCUCCAUUUUUCGUCCUCGUAGCUUAGGUCAUCGCUGCCUCUGUGAAGAAAUCACUGCCGCCUUGUGCAAAACCUUAGAUCUAAAGUUGUGGUUGAUCUUCUUCUUUGUGCUUGAUCUUCUUCUUUGUCCUUCCUCUGUUCAACCCAAGAUAAACAACGUAAUUUUUUUGAAUUGAUCUUCUUCUCUGUGGUUUCUCUAUUCGUUGUCAUUGUGGGUUUGGUCGAACCGUACAUUUGCGAUUACUGGUAAUCGGCUAGAUCUUGGCUGUUGCCGGAGCCUUGUGGUCGCGAACCGUACAAUACAGGGCUUUCUCUGCCUUCAUAGUAUUUCUACAUGCCUUGUGGUUCGAUAUUAAGGUUCUGUAACCUUCGCUUGCCUGAGCUGCAGCAGGCCUUGACAUAGUUUCUGCUGUUUAUCAUCUUUGACUUGCGCUCGAAAGUAAUACUUACUGAUAGUAUCGUAAUUUACAUCACUUAUAAAUAGUACAGAUUGUUGCCAAGUAUGUUUUGUAAAUUGUGAUGGCCAACAAUAAUGAGCGGACACUUAAUUUUGUAUGCAUAUCAGAUCUAACUAUACUUGUAUUUUCUAUGCCCUGCAAGUAUACCAAACGAAAGAGCUGCUGUUUAUUUGGCAGUGAUGCUAGUUUUCAUUAGUAUUUAAUGGAUGAUAUGGAUGUAAAAUUCUGUGCAACCUCAUACUAAUUGGAAGCCAAUGAGCCAUCAAUCCAUUACUAUUAUAGAUGGUAAAACAUGUAUACAUAGAUCUGAUGUUAUGUAAAGUUACACGUUGCCUUUUUUCAAUGAACUGUGAUAUUCUAAACCUUAGCAAAUUGGCAAGGUUACAGUAUAAGUUUAUGCUUGAUUGAGUUGGGAACAUUUUGCGCAAAAUAGACGUAAAAACGGACUUUAAAACUCAAGAUUUAUAGUGUAGAGGACUAUAGUUGAAUGCUUGAGUAGGUGAGGGGCUUUUGGACAUUUGUUGCCUUAAUCCUUUCAACCUUAUCCCCACUGCCUAAAUUAGGAUAGGGAGGCUGUGAGGGACUUAAUUAUCUUUCUCGUCUCUCUCUCUAGACUUUGAUCGUGGCUUGGUGGAGAUUGCGGAUUGAGCUCGAAUCGACGUUGACAUUGCGCCGGAAAGCCGUUCGAGCGUACGUGCAUCGUGGUAACGCCGUUGGAGGCCGAGCGAGUGCGGAAUUUUUCACUUCUCUUCUCGCCGUCGUUGGAUUAGCUUUUCAAGGUGGGUUGAUGUUACCGGAAUUUUCAGAUUUCCUCCUAAGCCGCAGUUAACAGCAUGUAUUAUUGGGUUUUGUAUAUCAUGUUCUAUAGCUUGAAUUUGUGGAUUUGUAUGUUCUUUGAAACCUGAAUUUGGAGCUUAGUUAUUGGUUUAGAUAAAUUAUACAUGUUGGAUUUGGAUUUGGUUUAGGAGAAAAUAUUUAGAUUCUACACUGUCAUUUUCUGAAAACUAUCAGAUUUAGCUUUAGGAGCUAUAGUUUGUUUGUAUCGCCGCAGUUUAUAUGCGGUGGAUAUCCAGAAUAGUGUAGAAUAAAUUUACGCUCGUACUGGAUGCUGAGUGUAUUUUUGCAGUAGUGUAUAGACUGUUUCGGACAGUCGGGUGCCGUUGCGGUUGACGGUGGACCCAGAUUACUGUUUUUGUAUCAGAUUGUGCCGAGGGCAUGUUUAUUAUGGUUGUUAGACCAGUUAGACCCUUCUGUUUUGAUUACAACCUGUGAGAGCCUGAUUGAGCUCGGCAGAGAUACGCUUGCAUACUCGAUUGGGUAGCGCCCGCGAGUGCCACUCCGGAAUCGGGCUUUGUGCUUUUGCGUUGUUGUCGUUAUGUCCUGGUUGGACUCGCUCUCCACUGACAACCCAGCGUGGAGGUAGUUAGUGUAGCUUCGACAGGCGAGACGCGUGUGUUCACAGUCCCUAGUGAGAUUGGGUCAGACAUUGCAUUUUUCUACAGAUAGAUAGUGUUGGAUGGACAUAGUAUAGUGGCACAUAACUAUAGAGUUUUUCAGCUUUAUUUACUAUCCUUGAGCAUAGUUCUGUAGACUUAGUAUGUGAGCCGUUGAGGUCGGUAGCGGUACCCACUGAGGACUACUUCUUUUUACAGUAGUUCUCACACCCAGUUGUUGAACCCUUUUUGCAGAGCCUUCUUCUUCGGCUGCUGCUGUUGCGGAUACUGAUCGUGGAAAGGGAGUCGCGAGUUAGAUCCCUUCCCAUUUUGCUGCUGAUCUAGAGAUAUACCCGCUACAGAUAGUGCUGGUUUUUGGUUCUUGUAUAUACUGAUGUUAGAUCCUCGCUGGAGCGAGUGUUAUGUAUCUGGAGACUAUGUAUAUAUAGAGAACCUGAUGUUAUUUAUAUAUGUUUUUCAGUUUAGCAGCUCUAUACUGCUAGUUGUAGUUUUGUAUAAUUACAGGUACAUGUACAGCUAUUACUUCGUAUACAGGAAAAAUUUCUUUGAAUACGGCGGAUUUGUCGGCGUGCCCGGAAAAACGAGUAAUCUGGGGCGUGACAUGAACAUAUGAUGCUUUUGCGUUCAUGUUGACUCUUAGCUGUGAACUGUUGGUUCAUGUUAUGAAAUCGACAAGUACAAUAUUGCGGCACAACUAUUAACUUGGUUCAAAAAAUUGAUUUGGCGAUGAUGUCGGUUUCCGGCAGCAUUCGAUGGUUGGUAUGGAUGUAAAAUUCUGUGCAUCCCUAUGAUAGUCGGAAACCAGCUAAUAGAGCUUCUGUUUGUAUAUAUGGUUUAUAGCUUGCUUUAGAUUCUCUCAAAAAGUACUAGGAAUUCUAGUUGGUAAAACUUUAUAUGCUCGAAUACUUUAUAUACUCAAAAAUAACAUAUUUCUUUCAUGGAUACAGAUCUAGCUAGAAAUUAAUAGGCUUUUUUCACUUCUAACAAUGCUUUCGUUUUUGUUUUAAAAUGUCGCAGGUGGUCGCUAAUAGCACGAAGAUUACCAAGUCGAAUAGAUAAUGAAAUCAAGAACUAUUGAAACACACGCGGUGCUAAAGAAAAAGGUGCAAUCUCAACCCACUCUCUUGGGGAACUGCUUACAUACGAACUGCAACGAAGAUAGUAAUCUCGAUGCUCGAAGUACAUCGUCAUCAGAAGAGUUGUGCACUGAAGUCGGGGGCCGACAAUCCGAAUCAACAUGGCAGUGAUUCGCAAAUUACUUGCAAAAGUACUGAUCUUUGGGACUCACUAGCUAGUUGCUGACUUAAUUGCUUUGGAUAGUUCAUCGGUUUUAGCUUCUCAAUAUUCAAAUAUGUGAAACAAUGAGAGCUGUUUGCAACUUAUGAUCAUAGUCAUAGUGUUGUUCAAUGAUAUGGAGCAUAUAAGUAAGAGUUGGCAAUGAAAUGAGAAAACUUACAUUGGGAUAUGCUAUAUAUGAUUAAUAUUUGAAUCAUAUAUGAAAGACAUAUAUAGAGAGAGAGGGAGCUAAUUUUAAUGUAGUCACUAUUUAAUAUUUAGUAAUUAAAUUUGACCAGAUUUAAUAAAUCUCAUUUGCUAUUAUUUUUGUGUGUAUUCUAGUAAAUAAAUAUUUGAUCGAUAAGUUUCUCCUCUAGUAAAUAAUUAUUAACUUUUAGAAUAUUUUGAUAGUACUACUCAAUAGUUACAUCACUUUUGCUUGUGAAGAAAAACUCAUCUCUUCUUUUAGCUAGAAAGAAAAUUUUUAUUGAAAUAAGAUAUGGAAAAGUGGACAAAAUUAGCACCUCGGUUCAAAUAAAGAGUAUUCGAUUCUUAAGAUGAUUCGAUGAAUAAAACCAACAUGAAAAUUUUCACUUCAAUAGAAGAGUUUCUUUUUAUUUUUUAUUUGAAUUUUUUUAAAAAAUCACACCUGCAGGUCUCUCUAAGCACCAAAAUCCCUUCAAUUUAACCCAUCCCAAAUCCUACCUAGCACGGGAGGCAAAAGCCUCACAUUUUUCUGGAUGUCUUGGGUACGUGUUGACUUGAAUAGUUAAAAGAAAUAUCAUUUUUGUGUUACAAAGAGUUAAAAAAAUAAAAAUAAAAAUAGUACUGAUGAUUUUUUUUUCAUCUAAUGCUUUAGAAUUAUAGUUGCAACUGCCACUGAAGAAAUAUGUAGCUGCAUAUAUCUCCGAUGAGGAUUACAACAAUAAUUUUAUAGUAUAAAAAAAGUUUUAAAGCACUUUAAAAAUUUUAAAUACUUUAUAAUAAUAUAAAAAUAACAUUUUUAGCCACCACAUUACUAACCUAAGCCAUAGUUAGUAUUGUUAACCACAAAAGCUAUCAUCUGAUGGUCUUCAAAUUGAGAAUUAUAGCUCUAGCUAAUUGCAUAAUUAAUCCCCAAUGUUAUAUUUUUCAAAAAAUUUAAACUAAAAGAGUAUUAAUUAGUUGUUAAUAUGCGUCGAUUUUUUUUUCCUUUGAUUUCCAUUAAGGAAGAUGGGCGUGCUUGUUGAAAAACCUCGACUAAUUAAACUCUAUCUAAAAACCUUUAACUAAGUGGAUUAUUUUUAGUAAAAAUGACAAAAGACUUGAUAUUUGAUAUCUAAAAUUUCAAGUUUGAAGUUUAGUUGCUUUAUAUUUUUAACUAAAUUCAUUUUCAAAAGAAUUGAAUGAUUUAAUGAUAAAAGAAUAACUCUAUUAACACAGCAAUAUAUAUAGAGAGAGAGCGGGGAAGAGAGAGAUGUGCUGAGAUACUAUUAAUAGUAUUUACGCCUUUUUACUACUAUGUUUAUAAUCUUUGGAUUAAAAAUUGUAGAGUUGGAAUAAUAAUGGUCCUUUAGGGUUUUGUAGUGAUCCCCUAGGAGAAUUUACAGUGCAUAUACUUAGAAUCAAAUUUAUAGAUAUAAUACUAAAAGAGGGUAGCUAAACUGACUAGACUUUUGUUGACUAGUGCUGUGAAAACAUAUUUGAAUUUCAUAAUAAGGAGGAAAAAAAAAAAGAAAAUUCAAAGGGACUGGUACUCCAAUCAAUCCAUUUUAGGGACACAGAUGGAUCCAAAUUGAUGGAGCCCUUGUCUUGAUCUAUCACAAAUCGGGUGGUAAAUAGGAGCUAAAGAAAAAAAAACAUCUCAAAUCUGCUCUAAGUCAGCAAAAAAAGAUGGAGCAAGAGGCGAGAGGUCUUUUCUUAUCUUUGAUUCAUUCUGAAUUCUAAUCUGUCAAAUAUCUACUUCUGAGUCCUGAUCCAAUCAGUCAAGAAAAUGGGCCCCCCAGAAUCCACCCCAUUUGCAUCCUAAUCCGUAGGUUCGGGCUAUCAUUCUUUCUUUCUUUCUUUCUUUUUUCCCUAGUUUAAGCUUAUGACCAUUAGCCUUAUAAUCCAAAAAGGCAAACCAACAAACAGUGUUAUUAAUUACCUUAUCAUGCAUAAAAAGGAUAACAAAGAUUAUUUGACAUGAUGUGCAUAAAUCAAAUACACAUUAAAAUCACCGUUUUGAGCUUGUAAAUUCUCGCAUACAUUAUUCAAAAGAAACAUAGUUAUUUACACAAAGUAAAACUGAUAUAGAUUAAUUAGUCCUGAUUUGAAUGUACCUACAUUGACAAGAAUAAGACUCUUUUGGAAUUAAUGCUAUACCGAAAGCACCCGGCGUUCACAUGUGUGCAAAAACCAACAUUUUAAGCUCGUAAGUUUAGCAAAUGGUAUUAGGAUCGAACCAAAUAUAAUUGUUAUAUUUGGUUUAGAUUUAUAGUUAUCUAAAUUGAGAAUAAAUCCUAAUCUAAUUGGAAUUAGAUUUAAUUUGGCAUAUAUGGAUUAUAAUUAGGAGUAUAAUUCUAAUUGAAUUAGAAUUAGACUCUAAUUAGGAGACAUGUAUUAUAUAUAUAUAUGCUACGACCAAAUUAAGAUACCGCGACAAAAUUAAGAAGCCAUCCAUUAAUUAAGUCUACGUUGCUUGAUGGUCCGUACGGCUUGGAUGAUCUUUUUGUGAAGCCAUGCUUAAUUAAGCUCUUAAUUAAGUUCAAGCUCUUCAUGCUUCUUUCGGGCUGGUGAUCACGGCGGCUCGGGUUGGUGAUCACGGCGGCUCAAAUUAAUUCAUGCAUGUUGGUAGUCCGUACCAUCAAGGAGCCGCGGCCGGUUAACACAACAUGCUAAUUAAUUAAGGAUCGGAGCAUGUUGUUGGUCUGUACGGAUGGGUGAGAGAGAAGUCCUUCGUUUGGAGGUUCUUGUUGCGGCGUUUCCGAUCUAAUUAAGUUUUGGUCUUUCGAGAGAUUUUCUUUGUACUCCGUCUUUUCGAUAUUAAUAAAUUAUUUAUUCCGUCUUCGCCAGUGGACGUAGGCCGUUGGUCGAACCACGUAAAUAUCGGUGUGCUCUUUUCGCUUAUAUUUUCUUUUCUUGCAUUAAAUUAUUUUCUGGAUCUAUUUUUCGUCGUUCCGAUUUUAACAAUAAUAGAUAUCAAAAUAAAAUAUUCAAUAAUAACUUCUUCGAUAUAAAAAUAUUUUUCUAUAAUUAAAAGUUAUAAAUUUAAUAUUACCCCUCAAAAAGUUUUGAAGAUUUAUUAAAAAAAAAAAUUGAAAGCCAAAUAUAGUAUUCAUUUGCUAAAUCACUCACUUUCAAAUACUAUAUAUAUAUAAUUAACAAGAUGUUUUUUUUUAGAGAGAGAGAGAUAGGUAAGCAUGCUAUCUGUUUCAUUUAUUUUAUUUAAAAAUAAAUUUAGCUGGAAAUAUAAAUUAAUUAUGAUUCAAAUUUGGGACCUCGAAUACCAACCGGUAAAUCUUUUGCCGCGUGCGCUUGAAACGGUCGGUAUUACAUCAUUUAACCACUAGUACAAGUGAACAAUGCGGAUAAGAAUAGUCACGAAACAUCAUUAUUUCGCAAUCCCAUCCACUGUAGAGACACUGAUUAUUGACAUAUAUAUGAUAUGAUGUUAAACUCCAACCAUAAUCAACUCACAAGAAGACAAAGGAGAAAUUAAUGCUUGAUGCAUCCCUAAAGCCUCACAAUCGACUCAAAAGUUGAACACACUAACAGAGUUUACAAAGACGCUAGUAACGUCGAAAUACCAUCCAACGAUAUGUUUCAGAUGGAUCCAUUAACGGUGCUAAUUUGUCCACCAAUCCUCAUAAGCAGUCACAUACAACGAUAUUUAUUUACGAUGGUAUAAUGAAUCCUCAGUUUUGGCGCUAUCAGAGACGAGUUGUUUUCUGUUUUCCUUUUUUAUUGUAAUUUCUCUAUCUCUCGCUCUCUCCACCGAUUUGGACAGAAAAAGAAUUGAGCCAUUUUUUUCAAUCCAAUCUAAUUCAUCUCUCUUUUAUUAUAAGAAUUUAAAAUAUAUAAUUUCUUAUACAUAACUGUUGAAUACUUUCCUUAUAUAUGUUACAUAUAAAUUAUGGUAGUAUUGGCCACUUAAAUAUAGGUUGUAUAAUAAAAAAUGAAAGAGAGAUCGUUGGAGUUUAAGUUAAUUUUUUUUUUUAAUAAAUUUAGUCGUAAGAAUUGCAUGAAAUAUACUAACUAAGUUUGUAAAGUUAAACAACAUAUUCAAAUUUUGAAGUUAAAAUACUAUCGACUGAAUCAAAUCUAACAUAUUGAAAGGUUACAAACUAAAAAAAAAAAAUUGAAAAAUUGAAUAGCUUAUUCAAAAUAGUUUAUAAUUCAAUAAAGUUCUUUAUGCUUUUACUUUGAUUUUAAUAUUAAACUUCAAUGUCAUAUUUAUAGUGUGAUGAGCGAUCAACUUCAUAUUUAAAAUUUUUUGCGGUAUCCAAAAUAUGAUUAGUCGACUUUUAAUUUUAACAAGUAGGCAUUCUAAAAUUUAUUAGAUAGUUUAACUGGUUCUUUUCUCGAAUGAAAUUACUAAUUGAAUAAUCUAAUAAGACAUGUAGCAUUUUAGCUUUGCUGCUAUUAAUAUUUUACACUCUAGUCCCUCCUUCAAAUCUCUUUUAUACUCGCUUGUCUCAUCAACUUUCUCUUGUUUACACACUAGAAACCCAGUAAUAAGGGUUUUAUAUAGUAUAAGAUGUACAUCCGAUAACAAGUGUAGUGUACGGCUAUAGUUACUUUUUAGGAUUAACGGAAUGCACUUUAUUAGUACAUGAUUCUAGCAUGACAUCACGCCUACGAAGAUCAACAAUGAACAGAUCCGGCAAUUAAUAGUGGCUUAACAAUAAUCUAUCUAUUAACUAUAUAUUAAUCCCUAAUACAAUAGCUGAUGUGGCAAAACCUCAAUUUUUAAAAAUUUUUUUGUUUUUUAAUAGUGAAUUUGUCCCCUCAUCUACCCCCUAUAAUUUAACCUCCUACAAUUUAAUUUUUUCUUUUAGUUUAGUGUGAUAUUAUUAGAAACGUUUCAUUUUAGCAGCUUUUAUUAUUACUAGUUGAAUGUACGUGCAAAUGCAUGUAACAAUUAAUUAUUAUAAUAUAUUUCAAACCAAUAUAAAUGUGUACAUAAUAUAAAUCCAAAAUUUUAUAAUAAAAACUAUAUUUAUAAAUUAAUAUAUUAUAUUUUAUUAGAAAAUAUUUACAAUAUCCUAUGUGUUCUUUUUUUUAUAUACAUCGAACAUUUUUAUAUACUUUUUGAUUUUUGAUGAAUUAAAUUUAAAUAUGUGUUUUAAACUAAAAGCAUCAAAAUUUAAUUUAUAUUUAUUUUCAAAUUUUAAAAUUUAAGAUUGAUCCACUGUAAUAAAAAAAUUAAUUGUUAAUUUAAAUUUGAUAUCAAAAAUUAAAUUUAAUUCAUAAUUUAAACUCAAAUUUUAAUGUAAAAUAGAUAAAUAGGAAUGCUUUUUUUUUACAAAUUGAUCAUAACAGUUUGUUUUUAUUUGAGGUAUUUUUUAACAAGUUGAUUAUAAUCGUUCGUAGGAUUGAAUUUAUAGAUGGAUAGGAAUGCUAUUUUGUAGAGAAUAGAUUUUUAUAUAGUAGAGAUUUAAUAAAUUGAUCAUAACCGUUCUUAUUGAUUUGAGAUAUUUUUAACAAAUUAAUCAUAACCAUUCGUAAGGAAAAUAAUUUUUUUUACAGAUUAAUCAUAACCGUUUGUUUUUAUUUGAGAUAUUUUUAACAUAUUAAUCAUAACCAUUCGUAGGUAAUAUUAUUUUAUUCCUUUUUGGAUUCCGUCUGUCAUUGUCGGAAUUCCUAUACGCUUUUAUAUAUAGUAUAGAUAAUUUUAUAAGUGGCCUUUCAACUUUCUAUAUUAGGUUAAAUAUAAUUAGCUAAUUCAGUUAAUUAAUAAUCUUUAUUAUCCAUCAAAUUUUUUUUUUUUCUAUAACUGAUAUUGCCAUUAUCAUUCAUUUUUCUAUUUUUAUUACUGUCCUAUUUGACCUGCAUGAGUAUCUAACAAUCACUAAAAGUAUUGAUCUAACUUUUCUAUAUUAGUAUUCUAAUUUUAAUAUCCAAUUUAACCCUUUUCAAAUUCCAAGCAUUUUGUAACCUAAAUUAAUUACUGUUUCUUAUUUAUUACAACUUAAAAUUUUUAGUUGAGAAUAUUAAAAAGUUUGCUAACAGAUAAUACUAAUAGUCUUUGUUUUUAAAAUUUUUCAUGUGCUAUAGCUAUAAAGUCUUCCCCAAAUUAGAAAAGUGUUUUACCAUCAUGUAUUUUCAUGCAAAACUGCUCAACACUCUAUAGGAGCAAUAAAUCACACUAUGGUAAGUUUCAGCAUAUUGAUAAUAUACUAUUUAAAUAAAUUUUUUAACAAAAUUAUGGCAAAGCUUAUAUUUUUUUUCUUUUUACAUAUAUAUUUAGAGUUCUCUCAGCUCUUGAAUAAAAAGUUAGCAUUUAAUCAGUUUUUUUUUUAGAAUAUAUGUUGAAAACUGUUUAUGGUAAUAAAACCAUAAAUUUAUUCUAAAAUAUGCAUCAAAAUAAAAUUUUGAUAAUAUAAUAAAUAAUUUAAAAUUUUUUUAUUAUCUCAUAUUUUAUUUUGCAAUAUUAGUUUUUAAAUACUCUAUCAACUAUAUAAUAUUAUAUGCGUUGUAUGAAAAUUAGUACGUAUCAAGUGCAAAUAAAUAAUUUUUCGUUCUUUUAGAAGUAGCAGGUUACCCAUUAACCAAUGAAGGAUGCCAUAUAACUAUUAAUAUUUUGAAUGUGUUCAGUGCAUCAUAAAUUUACUUUAAGAUAUAAAUCAAAAAUAAAAUUUUGACGGUAUAAUAAAUUAUUUGAAUAUUUUUUAAUAACUGUAGAUGACUGACUAAAAUUUUAUUUAACCGCCGCGAAGCAUGGGUCAUAUAUUAUAUACAUAGAUAUAUAAAUGUAUAACUCUGACAUCUUUUGUCGUUUCUCUUUUCUACGCCUCUUUUUAUUUCUUUCUUCAUUUCCUCACCAUAUUUUUUUGUAUAUUUAUAAUUUCAAACUACCAUCGAUGAUCAACAAUAAUAAAAAAAAUUAUUUCGAUAAUAUUUACCCGCUGCAUCGUGCUUUUAACUAUACUAGUUAAGAAAUAAUACCCAAGACAAGAAGCUAUAUAAUAUCGAGAACAUACUUAAUUCAGUACAGCACUCAAACACAUUAAAUAGGUAACUACUUGCCAAAGCAAAAUAACCAACCACAUGGCAAAACAUAGCAUUUAUCUCAGAUGUGAGAAAUGAACACGACUGAUCAUGAGAACCUAAAGACCUACCCUCUAUUGAUUAGUUGGCUAAUCCAACAAAGCACUCAGCCGCCCAUAGGUUCCUGUCCGUCCAUUCUCCUAGGACAGCUCAUAAACUAUUUCAUCAUGUUUCAUAGAUGUGAGAUCGACACUGCCGCACCAAAAUUUUGCAAGUUUCAUAGAACAAAAAAUUGUUGGUGAAUUAGAAAGUGGCAAAUCAUCCGACUUUGAGCGCAACGACUGUGAGAUGUAAUCUACCAUGGGUAAUAAUUGCGGCACGUGAUGUUGAAAGAGUUUGAAUAAGUUCCUCAGGCAUCUGCGCAAGAGGACGAAUCAGAACAUAUCCAACCAUAAAUGGAAAUCAGAACAUAUCCAACCAUAAAUGAGACGUUUUUAACCAGAACAAACUAUACGAAACGCAAUAAUUACAAUAACAUUUCAAGAUAAGAGAGUAACAAACAAUCAUCAUCUUACUAUCCCUGAAGGUGUAGCUCUAAUUAGUAGAUCUGACAAAUUGGCAUCAUAAAUAAAUCAGAAAGCACAGCAAACAGCUUUGAAGAACAAACUGAACCAUAAAUAUCUAUUUGGCAUUUGAAUGCUGCUUGUACACAAAAAGAAGCAACAAAUGCUCCUUGUACACAAAAAGAAGCAACAAAAUUAACCUUCGUUGAAAUAAAAAUGAUGGAUAGCAGGUCUAUGACCUAUGUUUGAUAGAUAGCAGCCGAGCAGCUCAAACAAUCAAAUUCACUAAUGGCAAGACAAAAGGGGGUUAAAAAAAAAGAGAGUAGAAUUUCACUAAUUAAGAAAGUAAAGAACUAUACAGUAACGUGUCGGGGAAGAAAAUGCAUAGAUGUUAAUUCAGCUUCAAAUCUUUUCACAGCCCCAUGCCAUGGAGGAAGCGUAAUUAACCACCAGCUUCCCGUCAAACCCAAAAUUCUGUCAUGUUCAAUAGAACAACAUUAAUUUUGUCAUUUUGCCAACCUAGAAAGAAUAUUCUCAGUUCAAGAAUUAUUUUUCAAAAUGGUACUAGGUUAUCUGCUAUUUAAUAUACCAGGAUUUUAAACUGGCCAUUAAUUUUACUUUCAUUGGAGGAACAGCAGAACACCGAAAAAUAAAUGACCCGGCAGAGCUAACAGCAGAAGGAUUUGUUUUGCUAUAAGCUCACAAAGACUAAAGUUCAUGGUGGACAGUGGUAUAUUUUAAAAGCACAGGUCACAAAAAAUAAAUAGGAGAAAAAAGAACAAUUUCAAGGAAGUGGUUACAUGGAGUGCACGUGCCACAGAGAGUUAAGAGUAGAAGUGGGACGCUAACACAUACUACAUAAAAUUGAUCUUUGAGACACGUAGUAGAAUAAUGCCGUCUACUUGAUCUUGAAGAUGUAAAAAAGUAAAUGAACCGAAUAUUUAAGUUUUAAAGCACUUGUAUCUAAAGAUCAAAAGGUUUCGAAAUUGCCAAUCUCAAUUGUUGUCACGAAGGGUUUGGUUGAUCAAUACGCCAAGCUAAAUUGUGGUUACUAGGGGUUUGGUUGAUCAAUACACCAAUCUCAAUUGUGGUUAAGAGGAGUUUGGGUGAUCAAUACUUCAGAAGAAUUCCAAAUAGUUUUUUUGCCAAAAGGCCCAGACUAACAUCAACGGGCUCAUUUGUCAAUAAUAACCAUCAUACAUUAUUUCUUCUUUUUUUUUUUUUUGUAAUCUGUUUUACCAAGUAAUGCAUGGGAAAAGAACAAUACACAUAAUCCUUCAUGAUUAAAAUUGGCUAAAUAGUUCAAAAACAUAAAGUAACAUAGUCAUUCCUAAGAGGCAAACUACAUAAUCACAAUCCAAAUAGCUUAUCUGCAUCAUUUAUCAUGAUCAAAAUAAUGUUAAAUAGACAGAAGUGAAAUUCAAAGUUCUUUGACAAUGUUUCGACAAGGCAUAAGUUUUCAUCUGAACCUAGUUAAUCAUCAAAUUGGAUGUAGGGGUGUAAAACGGGCCGGGCCGCUCGGCCCGACACGACUGCGGGUUGGGCCGUGGCCCGGCAUGGCUCCUGUAGCAUCCAUGCCGGGCCGGGCCGGCCCGGCUCUUCGGGUCGUGCUGGGCCUCCCUUCUUGGGCCUGACAGCCCGACCUAGCACGGCCGGGCCGAAGGGAAGUCCGUGGCCUGGCAUGGCACGACCCGCUUAGGCCGUGCCAUCCGGGCCAGCACGGCCCGAACCCCAAGGCCCAAGGCUAUUGCCUUGGGCUUUGGGGUUGGAUCUCCUGGGGAGAAGGGCCAAGGAGAUCUCCUCCCAAGGUCUGCCAUAGGAAACCUUGGGAGGAGGUUUUUGAUUCAACGAACCAAACAAUUUGGUCCGUUGGACCAAAAACACUCCAAUUUUUUUUCAAAAAAAAAUUAUAUAUUUUUUUAUAAAAUUCAAAUAUUUGUUAUAUUAUAAUUAUUUUUAUAAAUUUUAAAUUUUUAAAUAAAAAAUUAUAUGUUUAUAUUUUAAAUUUAAUAUAUUUUUUAAAGAAAUAAAGAAAUAAAAUUCUUUAGGGGCCGGCACGGCCUGGGCCUUUCGGGCCGAAGGGCCGUGCUGGGCCAUAGAGUUGGCAGCUCUGGCCAGGCACGGCCCAGCCCGGAUUUGAAACUGGGCCGGGCUGGGCCGGCCCCUAGCCCGAAUCAGCAUGAAAAAUAUGGGUUGUGCCGCAUUACACCCCUAAUUGGAUGUUUUAUGUGAGUACAUACAAACUAACUACGAUCAACAAAUUAGUUGCUCACUAAGAAUAAAAAGUAUUAAGUAGUGUAUUCCAUAUUUUUGUGUAUGCAUGUUGAGCAAAAGCCUGUAUGUAGGGGUAUACAAAAUUGCAUACACCAGUAACAAGAAAACUUACAUUGUAAAGAUCGAUCACCAAUUCGUCUGGAUUUGGGGAAAAAGCACUAUUGAUAUACACAAACUGUCAAAGGACACAAAAAGAACAUUAGUAGCUAAGCAUUUAAAAGUACAACGAAUAACCUAAGUGAUUUUAUGAAUAAGUUUUAUACCAAUGUAUCCCGAUGAAGUUGGCGACGAAGAAACUCGAUGACCUUUCAAAACUUGUCAAUUCCAGCAACCCGAAAGAAAAAAAUAGUAAAAUCAUUUUGAAGAAUAACCUCUGGUUUGAGAAAUGUCUUUUCCUUUAAAUGUGAAAACAGUAUUAUCUACACAGUUUGGCCUUGUGAAAUCUCUCACAGAAGUUAAACCAAAGUGACUGGAUUUAUCAAAUCCAUCUGCCUAAUGUUUAUGGACAGAUGUGAUCAGCUCCACCUUGGGGAUAUCUUGCGUACAACACUCAAAUAGGCUGGGCAAAGCGAUCAAGGUAGCCACCUAGGUAAAUUCCAUAGUCAUCAUGUAUAGGCCCCCAACAAACACCCCCCACCAAGCGGCAUGGUCGCCUAGGUAAAUUCCAUAGUCAUUAUGUAUAGGCCCCCAAUUGCGCACCCCAACAAAACAAGGUAAAUUCCAUAGUCAUAUUGUAUAGCGCACCCCCACAAACACCACAUACCCCCACCCCGCCCCUACCCAAAAAAAGAAAAAACGACUCUCUAGCUCUUAGGCCUAAUAUAGAAAAGUGAUGGCUAAAAGCAUUAUUUUAUACUAUGGAAGAACAAAAAAAAAUUCAAAAGCGCUAGCAAUCUUCCCUUCUUCAAUGCUCUAAAAUUGGGGUUGCAACCACCACCAGAGAAGCACGUAGCCACAUGCUUCUCUAGUGGCGGUUACACCUGCAAUUACGUAGUAUACAAGAAGGAGAUAUUGAAUGCUCUUCUUGAAAUUUUAGGGCUUUCAAAAAUGAUACUUUUAGCCACAACAUACCAAACUAGGCCUUAGUGUUAAAUAUAAAAAAUAUUUAAACACCGUUCUCUAACAGCUUAAGGUUUUAGAGAAUAACGGUUGUUUCGUAUUAUUUAAUAUGGUUUCAACCAGAAAGUCCUGAAUUCGGGUCACACUAUGCUCCUAGCAUUAUUAAUUUCCUCCCAUUAAUUUAAGUCCACGUUAUGGACCUACAAAAAGUCUCGAGCCUAAAGGUGAGGGGAAAUGUUAAAUAUAAAAAUAUUUAAACACCAUUCUCUAACAGCAGCUAAAGUUUUUAAAAAACAAUAGUUGUUUCGUAUUAUUUAACACUUGGUACUUAGCGUCAUGGGCAAGGCAAGUGACAACGAACUAAAAUGUAAACAAAAACGGAGGCAAAAAGGAAAAGAAAAAAAAAAGAGAGCAGGGAAUGACCAGAUAUUACACAUUUUUGAGAGAAAAGUUAGACAGUAAGUUAGAGCUAAUGAAUAACAGAGCUCUAGGUUAUAAUUACUAGACCAACUUUAAUCAGGUCUGCUUGAACAUCCCUAAAUUGUAACGAAAGUAUCACCAACAAAAAAACCACAAUAUAUGCUUCAAGGAUGAAACUCAAAAAAUGAUUUAUCAGAAAUUCAUGGAGACGAUCAAUCGUUAGCAGAGAAAUUAUAAUCCUUGGUAAUCAUUUUUCUAUCUUAACGUAUACUAAGAAUUCAUGCGGCUCAAUUCAGCUCCUUCAAAGUAUCGGUUUACAUUUGAAUCUUCAAAAUUUGGCUCAUCUCCAAAAAGUGCCAUCUCGAAGGCCUCGACUAUGAGAUAGACCUCUCAACAUCCAUAUAUUCAAACAGUUCAAAUAGAAAGUAGUUCUCUACAUAUGUAUAACAUUUUGGACCUUUGGCAAAAUGAACUUUAGUAGUACAUGGUUAUAUUGAAGGAGAGAUUACAACAGGGCUAUACUGUUUUCAUUUUCUUGAGACGGAUGAAAAUAAUGAUAAUCCAUAACACCCUUCUGAACUCACAAUUUGGCAUUUAAACCUGAACAACUUUUCACCACUAAUAUGAUUACUCUUAAUGAAAUUUCUUUUGGCUAGUGGUAAAAGUCGAAAACUAAAAUGCUAGUAUAUUUCCCCAUGAUUAAUGUCACAUGCAAACUGCAAACUAAUGUUGCAAGUUUCGACACGAUUUUUUUUGGGCCGAAAUCUGAAUUUUGACCGCCUUUCAGUGAUCUUCUGGUUCAGCACUCCGUUUGAAGCAAUUAUACACUUUCUAGUUGAGAUUGUGUCUGUGUGCAGAACUUGAGACUACUACAUUUUAUAUAAGCAAAAAUUAUCAAUCAGACAAAGAUACAUUCUAAGGACAAAAUGAUUCCUCAAAAGAAUGCAAGCAUUGCUAGACCGUCUUUUGACGAUUUGUCACAAAUCCUACAAUCCUGCUUAAAGACCAGCACUCGACACCCGCUAAGGCUUAGUUCGGUAUUGCCGUGGCUAAAAUGCAUUUGCUUCAUGCUUUGGAAGACCCAAGAAACUGAAAACCGCUUUCAGUUUUUCCUCCUCCAAUGCAAUAAAAUUACAGCAGUAAUGCCGCCGAACAGUAGUUACACGCUUUUGCGGCGGCAGUUGCUACCACAAUAUUAUACCACUGCAAGGAGAAGGAUUUGAAGUGCUGUAGGAUAAUGCGGACCUUCCAAAGAAUAAAAACAGGUGCUUUUGGAAAGGCAAUAACGAACUAGGCCUAAAGCACAAAAGCAGGAGCAUUUUGGAAACGCAAUCCCAAUCCCAAACUAGGUCUAAUUCUUCGAAUCCCAGAAAAUGCUCCCUGCAUCCAUAAACUCUCUAUUAGAGUCUACAAUAUAUCACAUUGAUGAUUCUACAUUCAUUUUCAACAUUUUUUUUAAGCAAAAUUUCACCUCCACAUGCAUCCUUCAAAAUCUACUUUCCUUAGAUCAAAACU